This 49626-nucleotide long non-coding RNA is filed under the name Triticum aestivum (bread wheat). RNAcentral describes it as "long non-coding RNA (TAES_LNC012000)". The record is from RNAcentral. Lineage: Eukaryota; Viridiplantae; Streptophyta; Magnoliopsida; Poales; Poaceae.
UGACGCCUUUGUCUGGUUGUUGAACACAAAGGAAGUACGCGAAGUUGCAGCUAUGGCGAACUUUUAAUCUAAACAAAACCCAAAGUCUAAACGGUGCCGUAAGGGCUGUAUAUAUGGAUGAAGAGGGGGUGAAUUUCUUGGCCCUCGGUGGAGGGGUCCGAAACUAACCCUAUCUCUUGUUUCCCCACACAUACGGACUCUAAAAAUAGCCUAUACUUAUGUAUUUCGAAAUUACAUGGGCCUGGCCCAAUAAUAAGGUGACGCAGCACCUAGAAUAGCCUCUGGACGAAAUUUAUGAAGUGGCAUCUUGUAUAUUUCGUCCAAGGCUUCAUGCACUCAUUAUGGUGGCUUCAAAGUCCUGAAAUCAUCACUUGUAACUCCAUUCUUGUUCCCCUUGCGCAUGCCAUCAUCUCCAUGCUUUUUCUUGCUCCAAUGUUCACCCUUCUCCAAGCUAGGCCCUUCAUUUGUAAGCAAAACAAAUGUAUCCAAUUUAGGCAGCAUCAUAUUCUCAUGAACAUUAGAAUCAUUACCAAGAAACGAAAGUACCUGAUAAUUUAAUUGGCGUGCGCGAGCUCUAGUAAUUGGUCUAGUAUAUGUAACAGUAGGGGCUGUGGGUGUAACAAUGGUAUUGAUGUCCUCACCAAUUUGUUUCUAUUCUUAGAUAUCCCUCUAAUGAGCUAGGUGGGGGUACUUAUAGUCUAGGGGCGAAAUAUGAGAGGGAGAGGGUGUUGUAGGGUCAAACCCUAGGAAGGAUCUUUUCACACUUGGAGGGGUUAAAGGAGGAAAACACUCAAGAACACCAAGAACAAAACUCUCAAACAAACCCAAAUAUCACAUCCACUAGAGUAGCAUACAUGAGAUCCACAUGAUUACAAGAUCAAUACAAGGAGAGUAGCACUUGGUAAAUUCUUCCCACUAGGUGAGGUCUUGAUGAUCUUCUCCAAGAAGAGGCCUCGAUAAUCCAAUGGAUUCUUCCCUAGGUUGGGGCUUGAUCUCCUAAGAGGAGGGGAUACAAGGAGCAAAGGCUCACAAUGUUUAGUCUAAUCUUUGCUAACCUUCCAAAUGGCCUAGGAGAUAAGUAUAUAUAGGCUAGGGACGAAACUUAGGGAAAGGGGGGUACAAAGGACUAAAAUGUCCCUAAAAACGUGUAGCCAAGGGGAAGGGUCCGGGCACCCGGACCGGUCAGGGAGCCGCGCCCAGGCGGGACCGGGCACCCGGGGGUGUAUUGGCCGGGCACCCGGCCAGGUCAGGAGCAGGCGAGCGAGGGGCCGGGCACCCGGGGCUCCAAGUCCGGGCACCCCGGGUGCCUUCCAGCGGCCGGCUGGGCAUGGGUCGGGCACCCGGGGCCGGCUGGGCGAAGCCCAGGAGAGGGGCCGGGCACCCGGGGCCUUGGGGCCGGGCACCUUGGUGAUGAGGACAUCAAUACAUUUGUUACACCCACAGCCCCUACUGUUACAUAUACUGGACCAAUUACUAGAGCUCGCGCACGCCAAUUAAAUUACCAGGUACUUUCGUUGCUUGCAAAUGAAGGGCCUAGCUUGGAGAAGGAUGAACAUUGGAGCAAGAACACGCAUGGAGUUGAUGGCAUGCGCAAGGGGAUCAAGAACGAAGUUACAAGUGAUGAUUUCAGGACUUUGAAGCCACCAUAAGGACUGCAUGAAGCCUUGGACGAAAUAUACAAGAUGCCACUUCAUGAAUUUUGUCUACAGGCUAUUCUAGGUGCUGCGUCACGUUAUUAUUGGGCCAGGCCCAUGUAUUUUCAAAAUACUUAAGUAUAGGCUGUUUUUAGAGUCUGUAUGUAUGGGGAAACAAGAGUUAGGGUUGGUUUCGGACCCCUCCUCCAAGGGCCACGAAAUUGCCCCCUCUUGCUCCAUAUAUACAGCCCUUAGGGCAUCGUUUAGACUUUGAGUUUUGUUUAGAUUAAAAGUUCGCUAUAGCUGCAACUUCGCGUACUUCCUUUGUGUUCAACGACCAGACAAAGGCGUCACAGAACCCCACCUUGAUCAAUAAAUCUUUCAUCUUAUAUUCGCGUAUCCAGAAUUGCAAUCUCAGUUUCUUGCUUGUUCUUCAUUUGCUCGCAGGAAAUAGACCCUCGUGGUCAGGUUGAUCGUGCUCCGGUGUGGUCAAUAACCCCUCGGAAGUUGGAUUAGCGAUUGCUAAGGCGCGACGCCAUCACACGUUCGUAGUCGGAUCGUCAAAGUUGACUCCCACCAAAAACGAUUGCUAUCUCAUCGAAACAUCGGGACACCUUUGCCCCUAUCACAGGGGCUGGCUGGGGCACAGCCCAGGUAGAGGCCAGGCACCCGGGCACCCGGGAUGUCCAGGGGGAUUUGCCCCUUCUCCUCCUUCUUCCUUCUUCUCGUUCUCUCCUUCCUUCUCUUCUUUCCGUUGCUUCGUGGUCACUUGAGUCUCCGUCUUCUCCUUCUCACUAUCAUCUUCUUGGUACCUAAGCAUGCACAAUGUUUCCGAUGAUGGUAGAAUCCAAUUCCCAUGUGAAACCGAACGAAACUCAAAGAGGAGGGAGUCUACCUCGUUCUCGAUGGCGCGUGCACGGGCUCUUGUCAUUGGUGGCUCUUGUCAUUGGGCCACUUGGUGCUUGCGGUGGUGAUGGAGUGUCGGUGCGAGUAGUCGAGGGAUGCUCCGCAUCAUCUUCCCCCCUUGGGAAAGAUCCGUCCACGGAUCAUGCUCUUCAUGACGAGGACAUCAAUACCAUUGUUACACCCACAGCCCCUGCUGCUAUACAUACUGGACCAAUUACUAGAGCUCGCGCACGCCAAUUAAAUUACUAGGUACUUUCGUUUCUUGGUAAUGAUUCUAAUGUUCAUGAGAGUACGAUGCUGCCUAAAUUGGAUACAUUUGUUUUGCUUACAAAUGAAGGGCUUAGCUUGGAGAAGGAUGAACAUUGGAGCAAGAACAAGCAUGGAGAUGAUAGCAUGCGCAAGGGGAACAAGAACGGAGUUACCAGUAAUGAUUUCAGGACUUUGAAGCCACCAUAAUGGGUGCAUGAAGCCUUGGACAAAAUAUACAAGAUGCCACUUCAUAAAUUUCGUCCCUAGGCUAUUCUAGGUGCUGCAUCACCUUAUUAUUUGGCCAGGCCCAUGUAAUUUCGAAAUACAUAACUAUAGGCUAUUUUUCGAGUCCGUGUGUGUGGGGAAACAAGAGAUAGGGUUGAUUUCGGACCCCUCCACCAAGGGCCAUGAAAUUCCCCCCUCUUCCUCCAUAUAUACAUCCCUUAGGGCACCGUUUAGACUUUGGGUUUUGUUUAGAUUAAAAGUUCGCCAUAGCUGCAACUUUGCGUACUUCGUUUGUGUUCAACGACCAGACAAAGGCAUUACAGAACCCCAACUUGAUCAAUAAAGCUUUCAUCUUAUAUUCGCAAUAUCCAGAAUUGCAAUCUCAGUUUCUUGCUUGUUCUUCGUUUGCUCGCAGGAAACAGACCCUCGUGGUCAGGUUGAUCGUGCUCCGGCAUGGUCAAUAACCUCUCAGAGUUGGUUUAGCGAUUGCUAAGGCGCGACGUCCUCGCACGUUCGUAGUCGGAUCAUCAAAGUCGAUUUCCACCAAAGCGAUAUCCAUCAUCUCAUCGAAAGACGGGACACCUUUGCCUCUAUCAAGUGGUAUCAGAUUUCCAGGUUGCUCGGUGAGAUUUUACAGUUUUCGUAGUUUAGAUCGAGUCUGUUCUUCAUACCUAUAGUCCACGAAAAAGCCAAAAAAAUAGGGUUAGUUCAUCCUAUCCGAACCAGUCUGAGCCUUUGCAUAGUCUUUUCAGUAUUUGGCUUUGUUGAAUUCGUGGUUGCAUCAUCGCGUCAAGUUGCUGGUCUUAGCGUCUAGUCUUUUAGAGUUUCGAGUUGUGGUCAUAAGUUGUCACGCCGCCACCGCACCAUCAUCAUCGCCCGUGCCACCUACCACCACCGCUCCGAAUCCGUAUCCAUAUACCACCACCAAUCCGUAUCCAUAUACCAUCACCGAUCCAUAUCCAUAUACUACCACCGCUGUCAUAUACCACCACCGCUGCCAUAUACCACCACCAUAUAUCCACCACCAAUCCGAGUUCCUUGCAUAUUAGGUUUGUUUUUGAGAUCCAUCUAAUUUCCGAUUCCUGUUUCCUUGCCUGAGUAGGUUUCGAAAAAAAAGAGUCUGGAGACCCCCGGGCAGUUUUUAGGCCAAAAUUUCGGCGACCAAAAAUAUUUUUUCGCUAUCCUAUUUUUAGGUCCCAGGGAGUGUUUUGAGACACUCGCCAUCGUAGUGAUUUUUUGUCGCACUUUUUCAUCGUCGCUGCCCUGAUUUCCGAAAAGAAAUUGUCAAAAACAAAUUCGUGUCCAUCCUGUUAGUUUGACAUGGGAAGAGUUUUGAGACACUCGCCAUUAUAGUGAUUUUUCGCAAAAAAAAGAGGAGCGAAAAAAAAGCAGAGCGCAAAAAAAAGAGCGAAAAAAGAAUUCCAGAGUGUGCUUCUUCCUUGUUUACGUGCAGCGCCGUGAUUUUGUUAGUGUUCUAGGCUCGCGUCUCUAGCACGUUCUAGCCUAGGACCAGCACAGUACCAUCGUUGAGCGUUUAUUCCACUUUGCAUCUUUGAAUUGAUUAUUGCUGAUCUUUUUUGCUACCGUAUUAUAAGCCUUCCCAGCUCCAUAUACAUCUACGUCGUUUGUUUGACUCUCCCUGGUAAUCGCUCUAUCCAAGCUUUGAGAGUUUUCACUACAAUGGUUGCCAAUCACCACCUGCUGCUGGGUAAGAAUUGGUAAGAAUUUGAGAUUCGCUUGACGGAUUUGUGACACCCCACCACCACCAUAUUCCAGUAGUCUGUAGGAUCAUAUUCUUGUCUGUUUCUAUUGUUGCUAACUAUGGCAGGAACACAAGUCGACGAGAUUGACUGGGAGAACAUGACGAACAAGGAGCUUCAUGAUAAGUUUCAUCAAAUGUUGGGUCAACAGGUGGAAGACGUGAUGGCCAGCUUUGGAAAGGCAAUGGAGAAGAUGGAUGACAUUGAGAAGUCAAUUGACACCAAGUUGUAGGCCAAGUUUGAUGAAUUACUCAAACGUCUCCCACAACCAGCUCUACGCCGCGAUACAGUAGGGCGAGCACAACGUGUUCCUACUGAGCCAGGACAAAAUUCUAGUGACGCUGCUACUGCUAGUGGUGCUUCUGUAGCUCCUGCUGUUACUGCAGAGGUGGAGGACUAUUACGAGGAUGAGGUUGAUCAAAAUCAGAACUACGUGCAGCCCCCAGCACCACCACCAGCAGGUCGACCUCAGGUAUAUAUUCGCAACGGUAGGCCAGCACCACCACCUCAGGUACGAGAUAAUGACCAUAUUCCGAAAGUGAAAUUGAAUAUUCCACCAUUUGAGGGUAGAUAUGUUCCUGAUAUAUAUCUUACUUGGGAGUUAGAAACUGAACAACGUUUUACAUGUUUACAAUAUCCCCAGGAGAGACGGGUUGCUACUGCUGCUUGUGCUUUCACUAGUUUUGCAUGUGUAUGCUAGUCUGAACAUUGUAGAUUAUAUCCUAUUCCAACUACUUGGGCUGCUUUGAAAACUGCUAUGCAUACUCGUUGGGUUCCACCAUAUUAUCAACGUGAAUUGCUUCAAAAAUUGCAGCGUUUAAGACAAGGAAAAAAUUAUGUAGAAGAAUAUUAUCAGGAAUUACAAACUGGCAUGAUUAGAUGUGGUAUUGUUGAGGAGAAUGAAGCUAUGCUUGCACGUUUUAUGGGUGAAUUAAAUAGAGAGAUUCAGACCAUUCUAGAUUAUAAGGAGUAUACUAAUAUCACUCGUUUAUUCCAUCUUGCUAGUAAAGCUGAACGUGAAGUGCAGGAUCGACAAGCAUUGGCGCGAACUAACUUUUCUGCAGGUCGACUUUCAUCGUGGACACCGCGUGCAUCCUCUACUUCCACUGCACCAGCACCUCCAUCAACUGCUACCUCCAGCUGUGAUACAAGAAAGCAGGCACAACCACCACUAUGUGCCAAGAGCGCACCUGCCGGGCCUGCACAGAGCUCUUCUUCGUCCAUGGCAUCAACAGGGCACACAAGUGAUAUUAUUUGUCGUCAUUGUAAGGGAAGAGGACAUUAUGCGCGAGAAUGAAAAUCUCAGUGUGUGAUGAUUGCUACUGAGGAUAGUGGGUAUGAGUCUGCUAGUGACUAUGAUGAGGAGACUUUAGCCCUUAUUACAAAUGAAGAACACGGUGGAGAUGAUUCUGAUCAUGAGACGCAAUACAUGGCUCCUGAAGAUGCUGACAGGUAUGAAUGUUUAGUUGCUCAACGUGUUUUGAGUGUGCAGGUUACACAAGCUGAGCCAAAUCAGAGGCAUAAUUUGUUCCAUACAAAGGGAGUUGUGAAGGAACGUUCUGUGCGCGUCAUCAUAGAUGGAGGGAGCUGCAACAACUUGGCUAGCAUGGAGAUGGUGGAGAAGCUAUCUCUCACCACAAGACCACAUCCAUAUCCUUACUACAUCCAAUGGUUCAAUAACAGCGGCAAGGUUAAGGUAACACGUACUGUUCGUGUGCAUUUUAGUAUCUCUACGUAAGUUGAUUAUGUUGAUUGUGAUGUGGUACCUAUGCAAGCAUGUUCCUUAUUACUUGGUAGACCAUGGCAAUUUGAUACAAAUUCUGUACACCAUGGUAGAAACAAUUAGUAUACUCUUGUUCAUAAGGAUAAAAAUAUUAAUUUGCUUCCCAUGACUCCUGAGUCCAUUUUGAAAGAUGAUAUUAAUAGAGCUAAUAAAGCAAAACAAGAGAAAAAUAAGAGUGAAAAUCAGAUUGUGGCAAAAGAAUUUGAGCAAAAAAUGAAGCCUAAUAGUAAACCAUCUAGUGUUGCUUCUGAAAUUAAAUUGAAAAGUGCACGUUUACUUGCCACUAAAUCUGAUAUUGAUGAGCUAGAUUUUAGCAAAUCUGUUUGCUAUGAUUUUGUGCGCAAAGAGGCAUUAUUUUCAUCGAGGACGUGCCUUCCUCUUUGCCUCCUGCUGUCACUAACAUUUUGUAGGAGUAUGCUGACGUCUUUCCACAAGAUGUGCCACCGGGAUUACCGCCUAUUCGAGGGAUUGAGCAUCAGAUUGACUUAAUUCCCGGUGCUUCACUUCCAAACCGUGCGCCAUACCGUACCAAUCCAGAGGAGACGAAGGAGAUUAUGCGUCCAGUACAAGAGCUUCUCGACAAAGGCUGUAUACACGAAUCCCUUAGUCCUUGUGCUGUUCCUAUUAUUCUAGUGCCGAAAAAGGAUGGUACAUCGCGUAUGUGUGUUGAUUGUAGAGGCAUUAAUAAUAUUACUAUUCGUUAUCUUCAUCCUAUUCCUAGGCUAGAUGAUAUGCUUGAUGAAUUGAGUGGCUCUACAAUAUUCUCCAAAGUUGAUUUGCGUAGUGGAUACCAUCAAAUUCGUAUGAAAUUGGGGGAUGAAUGGAAAACAGCAUUUAAAACUAAGUUUGGAUUAUAUGAGUGGUUAGUCAUGGCUUUGGGGUUAACUAAUGCACCUAGUACUUUCAUGAGAUUAAUGAAUGAAGUUUUACGUGCUUUCAUUGGAUGAUUUGUGGUAGUUUACUUUGAUGACAUAUUGAUUUAUAGCAGCUCUUUGGAGGAAAAUUUGGAACAUUUACGUGUUGUUUUUAUUGCUCUACGUGAUGCACGUUUAUUUGGUAACCUUGGGAAGUGCACCUUUUGCACCGACCGAGUGUCUUUUCUUGGCUAUGUUGUUACUCCACAGGGAAUUGAAGUUGAUAAAGCCAAGAUUGAAGCUAUUGAGAGUUGGCCGCAGCCCAAAACGGUCACACAAGUGAGGAGAUUUCUUGGCCUCACUGGAUUCUAUAGGCGUUUUGUGAGAGAUUUCAGCACCAUUGCUGCACCUCUCAAUGAGCUUACAAAGAAGGAUGUGCCUUUUGUUUGGGGUACCGCACAGGAAGAAGCCUUCAUGGUGUUGAAAGAUAACUUGACACAUGCUCCUUUACUCCAACUUCCUGAUUUUAAUAAGACUUUUGAGCUUGAAUGUGAUGCUAGCGGAAUUGGAUUAGGAGGUGUGUUAUUACAAGAUGGCAAACCUGUUGCAUACUUUUCUGAAUAAUUGAGUGGGCCUAGUCUGAAUUAUUCUACUUAUGAUAAAGAAUUAUAUGCUCUUGUUCGGACUUUAGAAACAUGGCAACAUUAUUUAUGGCCCAAAGAAUUUGUUAUACAUUCUGAUCAUGAAUCUUUGAAACAUAUUAAAAGUCAAGCUAAACUGAAUCAUAGACAUGCUAAAUGGGUUGAAUUCAUUGAGACUUUUCCUUAUGUCAUUAAACACAAGAAGGGUAAAGAAAAUGUUAUUGCUGAUGCAUUGUCUCAUCGCUAUACUAUGCUUUCACAACUUGACUUCAAAAUAUUUGGUUUGGAGACCAUGAAAGAUCAAUAUGUGCAUGAUGUUGAUUCUAAAGAUGUAUUGCAGAAUUGUAAAGAAGGAACAACUUGGAACAAGUUCGUCAUUAAUGAUGGAUUUGUGUUUCGUGCUAACAAGCUAUGCAUUCCAGCUAUGUCCGUUCAUCUUUUGUUGUUGCAGGAGGCGCAUGGAGGAGGACUAAUGGGACACUUUGGCGUGAAGAAGACGGAGGACGUACUUGCUACACAUUUCUUUUGGCCAAAGAUGAGACGGGAUGUUGCGUGCUUUGUUGCUCGCUACACUACAUUUCAAAAAGCUAAGUCACGACUCAAUCCUCAUGGUUUAUAUAUGCCUUUGCCUGUACCUAGUGUUCCUUGGGAGGAUAUAUCUAUGGACUUUGUUUUAGGUUUACCUCAAACAAAGAAGGGGAGGGAUAGCAUAUUUGUUGUCGUGGAUAGAUUCUCGAAAAUGGUACACUUUAUACCAUGUCAUAAAAGCGAUGAUGCUGUUAAUGUUGCUGAUUUGUUCUUUCGUGAAAUUAUUCGCUUGCAUGGUGUGCCAAAUACUAUUGUUUCAGACCAUGAUAGAAAAUUUCUUAGCCACUUUUGGAGAUGUUAAUGGGCUAAGUUGGGGACUAAAUUGCUUUUUAGUACUACUUGUCACCCCCAAACUGAUGGACAAACUGAAGUAGUCAAUAGAACAUUGUCUACUAUGCUUAGGGCUGUUUUGAAGCACAAUAAGAAAAUGUGGGAGGAAUGCUUGCCUCAUAUUGAAUUUGCUUAUAAUCGUUCAUUGCAUUCUGCUACUAAGAUGUGCCCUUUUGAAGUUGUGUAUGGUUUCCUACAUCGUGCACCAAUUGAUUUGUUGCCUCUUCCAUCUUCGGAGAAGGUUAAUUUUGAUGCUAAACAACGUGCUGAAUUGAUUUUAAAAAUGCAUGAGUUAACUAAGGAAAACAUUGAGCGUAUGAAUGCUAAAUAUAAACUUGCUGGAGAUAAGGGUAGAAAACAUGUUGUGUUUGCACCUGGAUAUCUUGUUUGCUUACAUUUGCGUAAGGAUAGAUUUCCUAAUUUGCGCAAAUCAAAGCUAAUGCAACAUGCUGAUGGUCCCUUAAGGUGUUGGAGAAAAUAAAUGAUAAAGCAUAUAAACUUGAGCUACCUGCAGAUUUUGGGGUUAGUCCCACUUUUAACAUUGCAGAUUUGAAGCCUUAUUUGGGUGAGGAAGAUGAACUUCCGUCGAGGACGACUUCAUUUCAAGAAGGGGAGGAUGAAGAGGACAUCAAUACCAUUGUUACAUCCACAGCCCCUGCUGCUAUGCAUACUGGACCAAUUACUAGAGCUCGCGCACGCCAACUAAAUUACUAGGUACUUUCGUUUCUUGGUAAUGGUUCUAAUGUUCAUGAGAAUAUGAUGCUGCCUAAAUUGGAUACAUUUGUUUUGCUUACAAAUGAAGGGCCUAGCUUGGAGAAGGAUGAACAUUGGAGCAAGAACAAGCAUGGAGAUGAUGGUAUGCGCAAGGGGAACAAGAACAGAGUUACAAGUGAUGAUUUCAGGACUUUGAAGCCACCAUAAUGGGUGCAUGAAGCCUUGGACGAAAUAUACAAGAUGCCACUUCAUAAAUUUCGUCCCGAGGCUAUUCUAGGUGCUGCAUCACCUUUAUUAUUGGGCCAGGCCCAUGUAAUUUCGAAAUACAUAACUAUAGGCUAUUUUUAGAGUUUGUAUGUGUGGGGAAACAAGAGAUAGGGUUGAUUUCGGACCCCUCCACCAAGGGCCACGAAACCCCCCCCCUCUUCCUCCAUAUAUACAGCCCUUAGGGCAUCGUUUAGACUUUGGGUUUUGUUUAGAUUAAAGUUCAUCAUAGCUGCAACUUCGUGGUCAGGUUGAUCGUGCUCCGGCUUGGUCAAUAACCUCUCGGAGUUGGUUUAGCGAUUUCUAAGGCGCGACGUCCUUGCACGUUCAUAGUCGGAUCGUCAAAGUCGACUUCCUCCAAAACGAUAGCAACCAUCUCAUCGAAAGACGGGACACCUUUGCCUCUAUCAGUCGCUCUUGUCAUGGAGGAGGGUCUUGAAGCACUUGUUCCACUUGGUGUCGCUCUUGUCUUGGAGGAGGGCGAGGAAUGCACGCUUGGUUGCGCCUUUCUUGUUGUUCUUCGCGUCGGGCGGCUUCUUCUUGUAUCUUGCAUCGAAGAGAUUCCUCUUGUUCUCGCACUUGGCGGUUGCGGACUUCAACGGCUCUAGUGGCCUCGCUUAGAGCUUGUUGUGCUUCAAGUGCUUGAGCUUCACGAUCGAGGGCUUGUGCUUCACAUUGCUCUUGUGCUUGUCGAAGUGCAUCACCGUCUUGAGGGGCUUGAUGUGGUACUUGUGGAGGUAUUUGCUCUUGCUCCAUGGCUCCAUGAGGGACUUGGUGUCGCAUCCGUUCACGUGCUCGAACUCGGUCUUGUAAUCCAUUGCCAUGGAAUGGAUUUUCUUGAGCUUGAUGAUGAUCACGUCAAGGAGGGAGAGCUCGUGGUGGACUUGCAUGAUAAGAAGAGUAGUCCGAAGAUGGCCGACUUGUAUGGUGACUUGAGUGGCACCGUCUUGAAGAAGCCGAUGAGGUAGACGGGCGUCGAACGAUCAUGUUGUGGAGCUCUUCCAUUUGUGUGUUGAAUUUGUCAUCGAUGUUUUGACGAAGGUCGGAGGCGAGUUGUUCCAAGCGUUCACCCAAUGCGACAUUUUCUUGAUGAAGCACUCGUUGCGCGAUGAAGAAGUGGUUCUUGGAGACAUAUCCGGAAUCAUCACCUUGCUCCUCGAAAAGUGGGUUCGACGACGCGCUUGGCCUAUCCAUCAUAACCAAGUGGGGUAAGUAGGCAAGUGAGAGAACAAUACCAAAGUUACCUUCUCCGAGGAUUGAAGAUGUAACAAGUGUCACUCAAUGUAAUGCCACAAUAGGAGAAUUGGAACCGGGUUUGUUUCUCACACCUACAAGUAACAGGCUUACGGAGUAGCUCGGUUAGGAUGGUGGCAAAAAUUUCAAGCAAAUGUUAGUCAAGAUAUCGAUAAGGUUGAGAAGGUUCACAAAAAUGCAAGUAAAGCAAAUAGAUCAAACCCAAAGGUAUCACUAGGUGCACACGCACGGAAGAGAGAUGGGAUCCGCACAACCAAGGAGUGAGCUCAAAAUGUGCAACCACGGAAAAUGCUCUUGUUGUGCGAAUGCUCGAGAGACACAAGCUCGAUUGCUCAAAUGGGCAAGAUACGCUUGUGCACCUACCUAUGAGAGAACCGUGCCGUCUUCAAUCCCAACUAUGGUAUAUAUGUGAUGACCAAGAUGAUAUAGGUAUGCAAAUGGCUCACUCUAUUGCUUACAAGCUCUUUGUUUCUCCUCUUUUGCUUAAAAGCUUUUCUUCUCUUUUUUUUCUCUCUAUGCUUGAUGCUUGAGCCGAGUAAGAUAUGAGACAAGUAUGUAUGAUAUGCACGGGAGAUACUUAUGGCACUAAGAUGAUAACACGAUCACUACGGUGCACAAUAGCGUGGCCCGGCAAUUCUCAACUUGCUAGUCUCAAUGGGUAAGCGACGCAAAGUGGCUCGGGCUAUCAAUGCAAAAGCAAGGUAAGGAGUAAGUGUCGUCGAUGUUACCAUCCUUUUUUACGGUUAGCAAUGAAGAUGACUCCGAGUCAAUGAUGGUGACGAAGAUGUCACACGCUCCGAAACACCUUAGGAAACACAAAUGGCAACACAAAAUCGGUCAAAUGCGGAAGGUGGGUGUUUUUGUGACGAUUUUUUGGAUGGGGGCUAAUGGUGGUGGUAGUGGGAUGAGUGGAUGGGAGAUGUCAAGAGCUUCUAAACGAGCUAAAGAACGCGAAAAACGGACUUGGGAGGUGGAAGUUAUGGCCAAAUGGUGUUUGUAGUGGGCUGAUUUGGGGGGUGGGGGCACCCGGGGGUGUCAAGUGCGGGUGCCCGGGGGUGGCUGGGGGCGGUGCAGGUUCCCGGGGGAUGAGGUGCGGGCACCCGGUGUUCUUCGGGGUGGGUGGAAAAAUUGGGGAAAACGCAAAAUUCCGCGAAUUUCGUGGUGGGAAGGGUGGGGAUUGUUGGGGAGGGGCUAGAUCCACUUGCCAAACAUCAAAUCCAUGGACCAAAACGACGAAAUCCCACAAGAUCCAACAAAUUGCAAGAAAAAUUUUUGGGGCUAUUUUUGUGGGGAUUUUCGGAUUUGGACGAAAAACAACAAAAUCAAGCUAGCAAAUGGGGAGAUGGGACUCCAAGAUGUGAAUAAACCUUGCUCAUGAUACCAAGAUGUUGUAGGGUCAAACCCUAGGAAGGAUCUUUUCACACUUGGAGGGGGAAAAGGAGGAAAACACUCAAGAACACCAACUCUCAAACAAACCCAAAUAUCACAUCGACUAGAGUAGCAUACAUGAGAUCAACAAGAUUACAAGAUCAAUACAAGGAGAGUAGCACUUGGUAAAUUCUUCCCACUAGGUGAGGUCUUGAUGAUCUUCUCCAAGAGGAGGCCUUGAUAAUCCAAUGGAUUCUUCCCUAGGUGGGGGCUUGAUCUCCUAAGAGGAGGGGAUACAAGGAGCAAAGGCUCACAAUGUUUAGUCUAAUCUUUGCUAACCUUCCAAAUGGCCUAGGAGAUAAAUAUAUAUAGGCUAGGGACGAAACUUAGGGAAAGGGGGGGGGGGUACAAAGGACUAAAAUGUCCCGAAAACGCGUAGCCAUGGGGAAGGGUCCGGGCACCCGGGGUGGAACCGAACGGGCACUCGGACCGGUCAGGGAGCCGCGCCCAGGCGGGACCGGGUACCCGGGGGCGAAGUGGCUGGCCACCCGGCCAGGUCAGGAGCAGGCGGGCGAGGGGCCGCACACUCGGGGUGCCUUCCAGCGGUCGGCUAGGCAUGGGCCGGGCACCCGGGGCCGGCUGGGCGAAGCCCAGGAGAGGGGCCGGGCACCCGGGGCCUUGGGGCCGGGCACUCGGGGCCGACUGGGGCGCAGCCCAGGUAGAGGCUGGGCACCCGAGAUGUCCAGGGGGGUUUGCCCCUUCUCCUCCUUCUUCCUUCUUCUCUUUCUCUCCUUCCUUCUCUUCUUUCCCUUGCUUCAUGGUCACUUGAGUCUCCGUCUUCUCCUUCUCACUAUCAUCUUCUUGGUACCUAAGCAUGCACAAUGUUUUCGAAGAUUGUAGAAUCCAAUUCUCAUGUGAAACCGCACGAAACUCAAAGAGGAGAGAGUCAACAUCGUUCUCGAUGGCGCGUGCAUGUGCUCUUGUCAUUGGGCCACUUGGUGCUUGCGGUGGUGAUGGAGUGUCGGUGCGAGUAGUCGAGGGAUGCUCUGUAUCAGAGGGUUACAAGGGCAAAAACCCCAACUUGCAAGCAGGCAUUGGCGGAGUGGUCCGAGCACCCGGUGCAAAGAGGCCCGGGUACCCGGAGGUGGUGCGGCUGUUGGUGGUCGGGCACCCGGGGCCGAAGGGCCGGGCACCCGGGCUGGGUAGGGCCGGUUGUAGAUGGCCCGAGCACCCGUGGGCGCGCCAGGCGGCUGGGGGCAUGAGCCAGGCACCCGGGGAAGUAAGGCCCGGGCACCCGGGGUGAAGGCAGCAGCUCCAAAGGGAGGGGCCGGGCACCCGGGGUGUGCAGUGGCUCCACUCCUUCAUGCCCAUCUUCCUUCUCCUUCCUCCGUGUGUCUCCGGGUGAACUUGGUGUUUCCCUCCGUGCUUCCUCGUGAUGAUCUCCCAAGUACCUAAGAAUGCACAACAUCUCCGAUGGAGGUAGGACCCAAUUCAUAUACGAUUCCGAACGAGACCCGAAGAGGAAAGAAGUGACCUCGUUGUCGAUGUUGCGUGCACGUGCUCUUGUCACUGCUCCUCUCGGUGCUUGCGAUGGUGAUGGCAUGUCCAUGUGGAUGGACGAGGGAUGCUCCGCAUCAUCUCCCCCCCCUUGGGAGAGAUCCGUCCACGCGUCGUGAUCUUCAUCACCAUGGGAAAGAGAUGGCGUCACCGUGUAGAAGUGGACAACCACCAAGCACUCAUCAUCGUCAAGCUCGAAAUGGUCACUCUCUGAUGUCGCCGUCUUGUGAUUCCUUCAAAAUUAGCAAGUACAAAAAACACUUCGAAAAACAAAUGUGGUUAGCGUUAGAGCAAAACCAAACAUUCGAAAGGUGAUUUACCAAACAAGUGUCAUCAUCAAGCAUAGCAUAUGGAGUGACAAGGGGGUGUGGCAUGGCAUGUAAGCACAUAAAUUGAGCACAAUCAAGGACAUCAUGGAAACAAGCAUGUAAAUGUGAGGUAAACAUGCUAAAACGGUUGACAAGAGAACAAGCAUCAACCUCAAGAUCAUAGCAAGCAUGCAUAAGUGAUGUAGGGCGGAACCCUAGGGGCCGAUCUUUCACGUUUGGAGUGGAUCCUAUGGGGGAACACGAAGAACGCACGGAAAACACAAGGGAAAACACGGGGAGAAAUGAGAGAAUCUCUAAACCGACAAGUAAUCGAUCACACAAGGGCUAGAUCACCGAACACAUAAGGUAGCACAAGAUUCAAAAUCAACAAAGGAAAGAUACAAGGGUAGACGUUCUUCUCCGUGAGGAGGUCUAGAUUGUCUUCCCUUGAAGGGGUCUUGAAUUCGCUUCGGGGAUCUUCUCCGAAGAGGUCGUGAGCUCCGAGGACAAGUAACCAAGUGGAUGAGCAAGGCUCUCACACAAAAUAUGAGUGAAACCAAUGCUAACCCUAGAAAAAGGAAGGGGAAGGAGUAUAUAUUGUCUAGGGGGCAGAGAGGUACAUGGGCUUCAGCCUUUUACUAUGCGCAGACAGGCGGGGCCGGAUGUCCGGGCGUCGGGCCGGAUGUCCGGGGCUUCCGGAGGGGACGGAUGUCCGGGCUAGGUGGCCGGAUGUCCGGGCUGGAGGCGAAAGCUUCUGUAGGUUCUGGUGCGUGGCACCGGAUUUCCGGACUGGGGCCGGAUGUCCAGGCUGGAUGCCGGAUGUCCGGGCCCUGUAGACUUGGCCAACUUGGAUGUUGCUGAGGAAGACGCUCCAGGGGCCGAAUGUCUGGGGCCUUGGUCGGAUGUCCGGGGCCUGGAAGGUGAGCUUGCCCGUUUCCGUUGGUUCUCCUCAUCCAUUUAGUUGGCGGCUUAUCUGUCUUCACGUGCAUCCUCGGGAGGUUCUUCUUGACACCUAAUCAUGCAUAGCAUAUCAGACUCAGGUAGUAGCCAUGUCUCGAGUGGAUCAUAUGUGAUAUUACUAAGGAAAGAAGUCACCUCGGUCUCGAGAGCUCUAGCUCGUGCUAUAGUCAUGGGUCCUCUUGGUGCUUGGUGAGAUGAUGGAAGGUCCAUGGGGAUGACCGAAGGAUGCUCCGCAUCAUCUCCCCCCCCCCCCUGGGAGAGAUCCGACCUCGGAUCGAAAUCCUCAUCACCAUGGUACGGGAAGAGAUAGGAGACGUUGAAGAUGUCGCUCACGUUGUACUUGUCGUGUGGGAGAUCGAUCUUGUAAGCGUUGUUGUUGUAGCGUGCUAGCACCUUGAAGGGUCCGUCAGCUCGAGGGAGAAGCUUGGACUUGCGUUCGUUGGGGAAGCGGUCCUUGCGAAGGUGUAGCCACAUGAGGUCUCCAAUGUUGAAUAUCAUGGGAUGCUUGUUGACUUUGAGCUUGGUCGUGAGUCGUUGUACUUGGCACUCGAUGGUGUGUCUUGUAUCUUCAUGCAUCUUCUCGAUGUAGCUUGCACGGGCCCUUGCGUCGAGGUUGGUGCGCUCUUGUAGAGGAAGAGGUAGAAUGUCCAAUGGGAAGAAACGGGUUGAAGUCGUAGACGACCUUGAAGGGGGACUUGCCGGUCGUCGAAUGUCUUGCACAGUUGUAGGCAUACUCGGCGAUGGGUAAACACUCCUCCCACUCCUUGAAGUUCUUCUUGAUCAACACGUGAAGUAGAGUGGAGAGUGUACGGUUUGUCACCUCCGUUUGGCCGUCGGUUUGAGGAUGGUAUGCGGAUGAGAACAAGAGCUUGAUUCCGAGCUUGGCGCAUAGGGUCUUCCAAAAAUAACUCAAGAACUUGAUGUCGCGGUCGGAGACGAUUGUCUUUGGUACUUUGUAGAGACGCAAGAUUUCCCUACAAAAUAGGUUUGCAAUGUGUGAAGCAUCGUCUAUCUUGUUGUAAGGGAUGAAAUGUGCCAUCUUAGAAAAUCGGUCCACAACAACAAACACGGAAUCCUUGCCAUUUUUAGUUCUAGGUAAACCAAGUACAAAAUCCACGCUAAUGUCUUCCCAAGGUUGAUAAGGAAUAGGAAGAGGCAUGUAAAGACCAUGGGAUUGAGCUUUAGACUUAGCUUGUGACAUGUAGAGCAUCGGGUGGUGAAGCGGGAGACGUCGCGGAACAUCUUGGGCCAAAAGUAGUUCUUGGAGAGCGUAGCAAAUGUCUUGUCGUGUCCAAAAUGUCCUAUGAGUCCGCCUCCAUGAGCCUCUUGCAAAAGGAGCAAACAAAGAGAAGACUCGGGAAUGCAUAUUUUGUUAGCUCUCAUAAGAUAACCAUCCUUGAUGUAAUAUUGUUCCCAAGAUGUAUGCGUCAAACAUUUAGCAUAAGCAGUCGCAAAAGAUGGAUCAUUAGCAUACAAGUCUUUUAUGUGCUCAAAGCCAAUAACAUUCAACUCAAGUUUAGUGACAAGCGUGCAUAUGCGUGAAAGUGCAUCGGCAACUACAUUUUCCUUACCCUUAAUGUACUUGAUCACAUAGGGAAAAGAUUCAAUAAAUUUACUCCAUUUGGCAUGACGCUUGUUCAACUUAGUUUGACCUUUUAAGUAUUUAAGCGUUUCAUGAUCGGUAUGUAUGACAAACUCACGAGGUCUAAGAUAAUGUUCCCAAACAUGUAGCACGCGCACUAAAGAAUACAAUUCUUUGGCAUAGAUGGGAUAGUUAAGUUGAGCACCGGAGAGUUUUUCACUAAAAUAUGCGAUGGCUCAUUUUUCUUGCAUUAAAACACCGCCAAUUCCGGUACCACUUGCAUCACAAUGAACCUCAAAAGUUUUGUCAAAGUUGGGCAAAGCAAGAAUCGGAGCUUAUUAAGUUGAGUAAGCAAAGACUUGAGCUCAUUAAAAGCGAUGGAUUGCAAAGAUCCCCAAACGAAAGGAGCAUUCUUCUUACUCAAGGCAUGCAAAGGAGCGUCAAUAGUGCUAAAAUCUUUCACAAAGCGACGAUAAAACCCUGCUAGACCAAGAAAACUAUGCACUUGUUGCAAAUUGGUGGGUUGGGGCCAAGUUUUAAUUGCUUCAAUUUUAGAUUCAUCAACAUGGUCACCCUUGGAAGAUACAACAAAACCCAAGAAAACCACUUUGUCAACACAAAAUGUGCACUUUUUCAUGUUUCCAUAAAGACUUUCCUUGCGAAGGGUUUGCAAAACAGCCCUAACAUGAUUAAGAUGUUCUUUCAUGGUUUUGCUAAACACAAGAAUAUCAUCGAAGUAAACCACAUCAAAGACUCCAAUAUAAGGGCGAAGCACAUAAUGCAUGAGACGCAUGAAAAUACGGGAGCCUCCGAUAAACCCAUAGGCAUAACUAACCACUCAUAUAAGCCAAAUUUGGUUUUGGAAGCAGUUUUCCAUUCAUCACCCUCUUGAAUGCGGAUUUGAUAAUAGCCACUUUUAAGAUCAAUUUUUGAGAAAAAGUUGGCUCCACUAAGUUCAUCAAGCAUAUCAUCUAAGUGAGGAAUGGGAUGCCUAUAGGAAAAAGUAAUAGCAUUUAUAGGUCUACAAUCGGAACACAAGCGGAAACUUCCAUCGGGCUUAGGCACAAGUAUAACGGGAACAGCACAAGGGCUUAAGCUUUCACGUACAUGACCGUUGUCGAUUAGCUGUUGUACUUGCCGUUGAAUCUCCUUGGUUUCUUCGGGAUUGACACGGUAUGGAGCUUUGUUUGGAAGUGGCGCUCCGGGGAUGAGGUCGAUUCGAUGGUCAAUGCCUCGUAGAGGAGGUAGACCCGGAGGUAGCUCAUCGGGGAAAACAUCUUGGAAUUCCUGCAAAAGAGAUUGAAACACUAAAGGUAGCUCAUGAGAGGUGUUAGUUUUUGGUCCCCAUCCUUGCACACAAGGACAAAGUGCAUCACACUUGAUGGGUUCUCACACACUUCUGUCAUCUCACUUUUUGUGGCAAGUAGGACUAAGUUUUUCUCUCUAGGUGAAGAGGCGCUCAAGUUUGGCUUGUGGCUCUCACUCACUUUCGGGUGGAUCACUUUCUCACUCUUCUCUCCCACGAUGGGUGGCUUGCUUGUCGGUUAUCACUUGACUAGGAGACAUAGGUCGUAGCACAUAUUCCUUCCCUUUCAUCUUGAAGCUAUAGAGAUUGGUGUGCCCAUUGUGGAUCGCAUCACGGUCGAAUUGCCAUGGUCGACCAAGAAGGAGGUGGCAAACGGUCAUGGGGACCACAUCACACUCCAAAGUGUCUUCAUAUGCACCAAUUUUGAAGGAUACUUGAACCGUAUGCUCAACUCGGAUAGUGCCGGAGUCACUUAGCCAUUGAACCUUGUAGGGGUCGGGUGUUUCCUCUUUACCAAUUGAAGCUUGGAGCAUAGUUCUUAACUUGCCAAGUUGUGACAACUACCUCCAUUGAUGAUGACCUUGACGGAUCGUCCAUUGAUGCCGGCCAUAGUGUGGAAGAUGUGGCAUCUUUGGUCUUCUUCUUGUUCAUGUUGAAGAGUCAAGACCUUGGAGACAACGAGAGCGGGGCUCGUAUCUUCAUCACAAAAGACUUGAUCAUCUUCAUCCUCGUUCACGCGCCGGUGCAUGGCCACUUGCUCAAGAGCUUCCAUCUCCUCAUCACUCAUGAAGUCAUAUGUGCCAUCUUCGUUGAGGAUCAUGGUGCGCUUGUUUGUGCAUUCAUAGGACUUGUGGCCUCGGACGCUGCAAGUGAAACACUUGAAGGAGCUUGUCUUGACGGUCUCAUCGGUCGGAGAUGACGAAGCACGCGGCUUGAUGUUGCUUGUAGUAGGAGGAAGACGAUUUGAACUUGCCGAAGUUUUCUUGUAACUUGACUUGUCGUCGUUGGUUGGAGAAGGUUUGGUUGAUGUAGAUGUUGGAGGGGUUGUUGAAGCUUGGAUGUUGGAGAAGCCGUAUGUCUUGGAUGAGUACUUGGCGUACUUGAAGUCAUCUUGGACUUGAUGUUCCGCCUUUGUAGCUUGAUGUACGAGCUCAAUAAGGUUGGAGUAGGGUUGGAAGUCGGCGAUCUUCUUGAUGGGAUGAUUGAGUCCAUUCAAGAAUCGUGCCAUUGUUUGCUCAUCAUCCUCCGUGACAUUGGCUCGAAUCAUGGCAAUUUCCAUUUCCUUGUAGUAUUCUUCAACACUCUUUGUUCCUUGCUUGAGGAGUUGUAGCUUUUUGAAGAGAUCGCGGUUGUUCCUUGCGCGCAUGACAUCCUUCAUUUGAGCCCAAGUGGUGAUUGGAGGUUCACCUCUUGCUUGUCAGCGCUCAAGGACUUGUUCCCACCAUAUGAGCACAUAGUCUUGGAACUCGAGUGAUGCCAUAGCGAUCUUCUUCUCUUCCUCAUAGUUGUGCAAGCGAAAGAUUUUGUCGACCUUAAAUGAGAGGUAUUCUUCGGGAUCAUUGCUUCCAUUGAACUUGGGCAUUGUGAAUUUGAGCUUGCCAUAGCGUUGCUCUUCAUUGUGUUGUGGGUGAUGGUGAUGAUGACGCCCUUGACGGUGAGGGUAAUUGAUGUAGGGGGGAACCCUAGGUGAAGAUCUUUCACGAAUUGGAGGGGGAAUCCCCAAGAACAAGAUGAACAAAAGAGGGAAAACAAGAGGAACACUCAAGAACAAGUCAAAUCACACAUCCACUGGACAAUCAAACACAUAAGAUCCACAAGGUACAUGAACAACAAAGGGAAAUAAGAUACCUGGUAGAGUUCAUCCCAAAUCCUAUGAAGGAGAUGAGGGCUUGAUGAUCUAGAUAGAUCCUUCCCUCAAGGGGGUCCUCAUCCACUAGGGAUCUUCUCCAAUGGAGGCCUUGAACUCCAAUGGAGUGGAAUCCCACAAGGGGAGGUACAUGAGCUAAGCUCUAAUGUUUAGAUCUAAUCUUAGCGUCCUAUAAAUGGAGGAGAUGAAGGAGUAUAUAUAGUCCUAGGCAAAGAGAUGGAUAAGUGGGGGUGAAAUGGUAAAACAAGGGCAAAGCCCGCAACAUCACACAGGGGGCCCCGUGUGCACGGGGUAAGUGGAGCCCGUGCGCACGGGGUAUCCAGGGACCUGAUGCAAGGGCCCGUGCGCACGGGGUCCGUGAGGCCCGUGGACAUGGGGGUCCCGUGGGCACGGUACACGCUCGUGCGCACGGGGUCUUCAGGACCGCCAGCCUAGGAGGCCCGUGGGCACGGGGUCGGAGGGGCCCGUGCGCACGAGGUCGCCUGGGAGCUGCUUCCUUCUUCUUGACGCUUCCUUCUCCGCUUCUAGGCUUCCCUCUUGGAUGGUGUAGAUGUUCUCUUCCGCAUGAACUCGUCCUCGCUAUGUUUGAAGCUCCGACAAUACCUAUGAAUGCACAUGGAAGGAAUGUCAAGUAGUAUACCAUCCUCAAAGGGGUCAAGUGAACACGUGUAAAGGAGAUGAUUCACCUUUAUGUAUGUGAAGUAGAUGUGGCACGUGUCACUUGCCAAACGAACUCUUGACAUGGUGAUGUCCAUAGGAUGCUCCGCAUCAUCCCCUCCCCCUUGGGAAAGAUCCGACCUCGGAUCGAAAUCCAAAUCACCAUGGGAAAGAGAUGAUGGCGUCGUGUAGAAGUGGACGAUCACCAAGCAUUCGUCAUCUUGUAGUUCCAAAUGGGCACUCUCCAAUGUCGCACCAUCUUGUAAUUCCUUCAAAAGGAGCAAAGAUAACAAGCACUUGGAAAAACAAAGGUGGUUGUCGUAAGAGCAAAACCAAGCAUUCAAGAGGUGAUUCACCCAACAAGUGUUGUCAUCAAGCAUAGCAUAUGGUUUGGCAAAGAAGUGUGUCAUGGCAUUUGAGCAUAUAAAUUGAGCACAAUCAAGUACAUCAUGGGAACAAGUAUGCAAAUGGGAGGUCAAGAUGCAAAUAUAUGUGAUAAGUGAACAAGCAUCUACCUCAAGGUCAUAGCAAGCAUGCAUAAAGUGCUCAAUGAACGGUCUAUGGUAGGCAUAAGAGUCAUUCACAACACCAAAUAUAGUGAAAUGUCUAAACACAUGGGGCAAGUGCAAGACAAUCCAAGCAUAACAUGCAUAGGGUGUAGUGAAGAUAUCGUGGCACUCAACACAAUGGAAAGAGCAAUUGUUCAACAUGUGUGAGGUAAUCAAGUCAAGCAUGUGAUAAGCAAAGGGACAUGGCAUAUGUGAAGAACUAGAUGCAACACACAAGGCAUAUAUAUCAUGUGGCAUGGCAAUGUGGUAAUGAUAGGUCGAAGCAAGAUCGCUAGCAUGUGUGCAAGGUGUCAUGGAGCAAGCAACACAUGAAGUACGAUCCACAAUAUGCAUGCUCAUGGUCUGGGUGUUCUCAAGAUAGAAGGAUAUCACCUCGAAAGCAUGACCUUGUGCAUUCUUCACAAUGUCGAAGUGGUAGGAAAUGUGGUGUAGAAACGAGUCAUGGUCGAAUGUAUGAGGCUCGCUCUCAAGAGCUUGAAUGGUCAACUCAUAUGAAGUGGAAGUCUACACGAAGUCCAAGUAUCCUACACAUGCACACAACAAAACAAAGAGCGUAUGCGCAUGGUAGAUAAACACAUCAUCCAUCAUGAUGGUUCUCUUCUCUUGCACAUAACCAUUAGAAGCACAAGUGCAUGAAUAAUAUGAUGCAACAAUGGCGGUAUUCAAGGCACUAGGUAUAUGGUGCAAAGAGGUAAGACAAGCAUGCUUCACAAGGAAUAUGGCAAAAUCUCCAAACAUAUGUGAGAGUGCUAUGGGGGCAAUAUUAUGAGCAAGACUAUAAGCAUUGUUGCACUCAAUACAUGGCAAGUCAUCUAGCAUGAUAGAUGCAACAUAUGGAGAUAUGUGACAAGAAGCAAUAACAAUCAUGUGCAACACAUGUAGAUGGUUGUCAUCAACCGCAUGAAAUGAGCAAGUAUGAGUCAUUGGUGAUGCAACAUAAGCAAGUACAUCAAUCAAGUCGUGCAAACUAGUGGAGCGAAGAUGCAACACACUAGAGUAAAUCAUGGAAAUCAUGUCAUGUGAGCAAAUACCAGGCAUAGACAAUGCACAUGACAUAUCGUAAGCAUGUACACAAAGCAAGAUGAAAGUAUCAUCAUAGGAAUGGGUCAUAGAUGGAACAUGGCAAUAACAAGCAAUAUCUCCACCAAGCUUGCAAAUACACAUACAAGUAUGAGAAUCAAUCAUCAUGUGUACUGCAAAGCAUGGGUCACAAAUGCAUGCAAAGGCAUAGGAAUGAGCAUAUCAUGCAAAGUGAACAUGGACAACAACCCAUAGCCAAGUGAGGGCCAUGUAGAAGAAAUGCGCAAAUUCUUUGCGCAAAGAGAGCGGUGGGAAAGACAAUCCAUGGGAUCCCAAAUCAUCGUUGAUCCCUAGAGCUCGUUUUGUCAACUCGUGGGAUUGCGAGGUUGACAAGUAUUCAUGGGUACCUACACAAAAGAGACACAAACGAAAGAAAUUGUGUGUGUGGUAAAUGUACACAUCAUCCAUCAUGAUGUGUAUGUGCACGUGUGAGUUAGCACAAGAUAAGCAAUGCUCAAAGAAAUUUGAGGCAUGGUAUAUGAACAUGUCAUCCGUCAAGCAAUGAUAGUUAUUGUGUUCAACAUGAUUUGGAUGCAAUUUAUAGCAAGUGUGAGGCACAACAAUAGCAUUUUUAUUCAUGGGGAGCAUAUGGUGCACACAAUCAUGGGAAUCAUGUAAAUCAUAGGAUGGAUCAAAAUCUCCUAAUAGGUAUGCGAAAACUAUGGGGUUCUCCUCAUGAGCAAUAUCGGAAGCAUAAUAUGGACAAAAUGGACAACAUCCAUAACAAUGCAUAUCCGAAGCUAGGUGGUCAUGGCAUGGCAUAUGAGAUAAAUGAUGCAAAGGAAGCAUAUCAAUAUCAUCACAAGAAAAACAAAUGCCAAUAACCAUGGGCUUGUCAUCUAUGCCAUAUGUGCAAAUUGGGUUUAUUUUAAUGGCAUAUGCAUAGUCACUACGAAGAGAUUGAAAAUAUGACAUACGGGAGAUCUCAUGCAUAGCAUAUGUCAAGUCAAGCGGAUUAUCAAACAUGAUGUGACCAAGAGAAUUAUCACAAGAAAUCUUAUGUAACAUGGCAUCACAACUACUAAACUCCUCAUGGCAAUCAUCAAACUCAUCAUAAAUGGGUAAAUCAUUGCAUGGGGAAAUCAUACUAGCAUGAAGCAUCGUAAUAGGUGGAUCAACAUCAUGCAAGCAAUCAAUUUCAAGAACGUCCACUAGUGGGACUAGAGUAUCACCUUCACCUUUGUCGUUCCACUCAAGUGGUGUAGGUGAGGUGGGGAGGACCAAAUCAUGUUCAUCUUCAUCGUGAUGGAACCAUGUGGGGGGUGCAUCAUAGUCCACCAUGGCCAUCGUCAUGUCCAAAGGGAGGACAAAGUCGUCGAGGAUCAGCGCGUCAUCAUAUAUGGGACCUAGCACCAAAUGAGAAGACACAAUAGAGGUAGAGGUUAAGUUGUUAGAAAGCGAAAUGGCCUCAUAUGCCUCAUCAACUAUCUCACUCUCCCUAUGUGGUGGUGGCUCACUCACUCCCUCAAGGUAGGUGCACUCAAUGUCACAUAUGGUGGAGUCACUCAAAUCACUCAAGUGGUGGUGGUGGUGGCUCUCCUCACAUGGGAAUUGGGGCAGCGCAUCAUAUAUGGGGCUAGUGGUGAAGUCACUCUCACUGUCAAUAUGGUGGCAGAAGUCACUCAAGUCAUCAUACGUCGCCAUGGUCAAUGGGAAAAUCCCAUGCUCAACCAUCUCGUCGUCGUCGUGGAUGAAGGCCGAAGAUGGCAAAUCAUCACUCUCCUUCAUGACCGAAGGGAAAAUCCCAUGCUGGAUCAUCUCGUCACCGUCGCCAUGGAUGAAGGCUGAAGAUGGCACAUCAUCACUCUCGCCUCCGAAGAUGGAAGCAUCAUCCUUGCUCGCCACCUUGUCGCUUGCCUCCAAAGCUUGGUCUUUGAAGGUCUAUGUAGUCGUACUUGUCACCACACCAUCUUGGAAAAGAGUCAAGGUAGACUUGGCAUCAUCAAUGCCACAAAGAGGGAUGGCGGUGAAGUCGCACUUGGGAGCAUCUCCUUGGAGCUUAUCGGGCUUGGACAUCGUGGUGGUACUAGCCUCAUGCUUGUCGUAGAGCUUGGUCGCCGCGAAGUUUGCUUGGGGUGGAGAAGCCUUGGCCUUCAUGAGUUCUUGUUCCACCUUGAGAGCACCAAUAUAGUAGUCGUCGAUGGACUUGUAGUUCUCGAGGAAGAUAGUCUUGGAGAUGUCGUUGUUCAAUCCCAUCAUGAAGUGGAACUUCAUCGAAAUGGGGUCGUCCACGCCUGCUCGUCGCAAGGCAAUCUUCAUCUCCUUGAAGUACGCGUUGAUGGACUUGGAUCCUUGGAUGGUGUUCUCCAAUUGGCAUUGAAGUUGUUCCGUGUAGGUUGGAGGCACAAACUCUUGCCGCAAAGCUCUCUUCGUCUUGGGCCAACUCAUGUCGUAGUACUCCGAAGGUGUGUGAAGCCACCAUGUCGAGGCGUAGUCAUGGAAGUUUCUUGUGGUGCACUUCACUUGAUGUUCGGAAGGGACUUGAUGUAGCUUGAGGUAGUCGUCCGUCAAACGCUCCCACUUGAGGUACUCCUCGGGAUCUUUAGUCCCAUAGAAAGGAAUCGCAUGGUCGAUGUCGAGGUCGUAGUAGCUCAUGGAAGUCACGGACUUGAGCUUGGGGAGCUUCUCUUGAGCGUAGUCUUGGGGUGCUUGUUGGCAAAGAUGUCGUACAUCCGAAGGCGAAGAUGCCUUGAAGUCACUUGGCGAAGAUGCCAAGUGUGUUGAAGAAGCUGCAGCCUUGUAGUUGAUGUCGUGACUCUGUAUAGCCCGUGUGCACGGGGGUACAAGAGGCCGUGUGCACGGGGGUCGAGGGCCCGUGUGCACGAGGUUGGCAGAGAAGCCAACUCUCAUCCAGGAGGUUGCUCUUCAUGGUCCUGUCGAUGUCGAUGCUAGUGUGUACUUGCCGGAGAUGGUAGCUCGGGAGUCUUUGCACUUGAGCAUAUUCUCGAAGAUGAGGAAGACCGCUUUGCGGUUCUUGAUGAGGGCCUUGAGCUCCUCCAUGCGCUUGUCCAUCUUGGCGUCGAGGAAUUUCUUCAUAGCAUCGGACUCAUGUCGUUGUUGUAGACCGGAGAUGAUGUGCUUUGCCUAUCCAUCACAAGACUCGAGCAAAGGUGAGUAGGAAAUGAGAUAAACAAUACCAAGCUACCUUUUCCCAAAGUUGAGGAUGUAUCUUGUAUCACUCAAUGUGAAAUGAAAGAAUAGUGGAAUUGGUACCGGACUUGUUCACUCACACCUACAAAGUAAAUCUUAUCGAGUGGCUUGGUUAGGACAAGUGGCACAAAUUUCAUGCAAAUUGAAGUCCAAGAUAUUGUAAAUGUUGAAAUAAAUCCAAAGGACUCAAAAUGCAAAGCAAGUGAUCACAAAUAUAGAGGAGGGCAAUAAAGAAACACACACGGUGGGAUAAUGGGGCUUGUGCAACUAUAGGGAUGAGCAAUAAAAAAUUGCCUAAUGAAGAUGAAGCUCGUGUUGCACAAACACUAGGAGAGCACUAGCUUGAUUGCACACUUGGGCACGAUUCACUACUUGGCACCAACCUAUAUGUAUGCAACAAGAAUGUUUCCUAUUCCAUGUAUCCUCAUGCACAGGUAUCUCUUUUCAUGCUCAACUCUUUGCUUAUAAGCUUAUGAUCAUUCUCUUUCUUGCUUAAAAGCUUUUUUUGCUCUUCUCUUCCUUUCCACUAUGAUUGAUGAGCCUCAACCACAAAUAUGCGACAAGUAUCACAAGAUAUGCACGGGAGGAAACAAUGGCACUAUAUGAUAUAUCCAAGGAUGCAACAAUAUGAGAUCGUAUCACUAUGGUGCACAAGUUUUCGCGAAGCCCGGCAAUACUCGGAUAGCUAGUCUCAAUGGGUAUGAAUGUAUUCGCAAAGAUGGUGAGGCUAUCAAGAUGUAAUGGCAAGGAAGGAGAAGUUUAUGACGGAAUGGUUACCUUCGUCACACUUAACCUUUCAUGAAGUCGGGGGUAACCGGCCUUGCUUCCGGUUGAAGAUGGUCUCAAAGGAUGGAUGGUCGUCGUCGAUGUGGAAGCUCGUGGUGGAUGUAGUCGAUGGACCGAUACAAGUCACUAGUGGUGGAUGAAGAUGCAACCAUCCCUAAGUAGCCGAAACACCUUAGGAGACUCAAAUCACAACUCAAACAACCACAAAUACCAAAGGAACCAAAAUGGGUUAGUUUGCCGAAGUUUUAUGUGGUGGUGCGAAAGUUAUGGCAGAGGGCCAAUGCAAAAGAUGCAAAAUGGACAAAAUUUGAUGGAGUCAAAUGGUGGUAAAACCAAGAUGAGCAGCUCGGGCACGUCGCUAGCUUUUCAACGAGCCAAAGAACACCCAAAUCGGAGUUCGGAUGCGAGAGUUACGGCCAAAACGGUGAAGUACUCGCGGCUGCUAUAGGGGGGCCGUGCGCACGGGGUCCAGGGCCCGUGGACACGGGGUCCCGUGUGCACGGUACACGUACCGAGGACACGGGGUCUCCAAGGACUUCGCGGGGGCCCGUGGGCACGGGGUGGGGAGCCCGUGGGCACGGGGUAGGCGGAAAUUUCGUGAUUUUCUUGUCAAAUUCGAAGGGGGAAAGAAAAAUUGGGGUAUGGGGACGCAAUAGGAGGUAGAUCUACUUACUAUACAUCAGAUCCAUGGAUCAAAAUCAACAAAAACUCACAAAAACUUCAAAUCACAAAAAAAUUGGUAUGGCUCUUUUUGUGGGAAUUUUCGAAAUUGGGCAAGAACAAGCAAAAUUAGGCUAGAAAACUAAGAGGGGGGCUUCAAUUUCGUGAGAAACCAUGGCUCAUGAUACCAAGAUGAUGUAGGGUGGAACCAUAGGUGAAGAUCUUUCACGAAUUGGAGGGGGAAUCCCCAAGAACAAGAUGAACAAAAGAGGGAAAACAAGAGGAACACUCAAGAACAAGUCAAAUCACACAUCCACUAGACAAUCAAACACAUAAGAUCCACAAGGUACAUGAACAACAAAGGGAAAUAAGAUACAUGGUAGAGUUCAUCCCAAAUCCUAUGAAGGAGAUGAGGGCUUGAUGAUCUAGAUAGAUCCUUCCCUCAAGGGGGUCCUCAUCCACUAGGGAUCUUCUCCAAUGGAGGCCUUGAACUCCAAUGGAGUGGAAUCCCACAAGGGGAGGUACAUGAGCUAAGCUCUAAUGUUUAGAUCUAAUCUUAGCGUCCUAUAAAUGGAGGAGAUGAAGGAGUAUAUAUAGUCCUAGGCAAAGAGAUGGAUAAGUGGGGGCGAAAUGGUAAAACAAGGGCAAAGCCCGCAGCAUCACACAGGGGGCCCUGUGUGCACGGGGUAAGUGGAGCCCGUGCGCACGGGGUAUCCAGGGACCGGACGCAAGGGCCCGUGCGCAUGGGGUCCGUGAGGCCCGUGGACACAGGGGUCCCGUGGGCACGGUACACGCCCGUGCGCACGGGGUUUUCAGGACCGCCAGCCUGGGAGGCCCGUGGGCACGGGGUCGGAGGGGCCCGUGCGCACGGGAUCGCCUGGGAGCUGUUGCCUUCUUCUUGACGCUUCCUUCUCCACUUCCAGGCUUCCCUCUUGGAUGGUGUAGAUGUUCUGUUCCGCAUGAACUCGUCCUCGCUAUGUUUGGAGCUCCGACAAUACCUAUGAAUGCACACGGAAGGAAUGUCAAGUAGUAUACCAUCCUCAAAGGGGUCAAGUGAACACGCGUAAACGAGAUGAUUCACCUUUAUGUAUUUGAAGUAGAUGUGGCACGUGUCCCUUGCCAAACGAACUCUUGACAUGGUGAUGUCCAUAGGUUGCUCCACAUCAGUAAUCAUCCUCAUGUUGUUCUUGGCGUGGAGGAAGUCCAUGAUCAACUUGCUCUUGUUGAACUUGAGGUUGAGGUGGAGCUUGACGAGCUUGUGAAGGAGCUUGUGGAGCUUGACGUUGCACACGAGGUUGGUAGUUCCUCUCUUGGAUUUCUUCUUGAAGGGCUUCCUCUUGAUUGCGCCGCUGGCGAUUGCAGUUGGCGAUAGAUCGACUUGAUUCUUGAAGGGCAUGUUGCGCCUCAAGAGCUUGCACUUCUCGUUGUUGUUGUUGAAGACGUUGAGCCUCGGCGUCUUGUUGUUCUUGGUGUAGACGCGCUCUCUCUUCUUCUUCUUGGCGACGAAGACGUUGUCGUUCUUGAGCUUGAGCAAAAGCGACUUGGUUUGAUUGAGGACGAGGGACUUGCUCAUCGUCUUGCUCUUGUGAAUGCUCGAUGUGUAGGGGGUUUGCGAGAUGCAUGAUGGUCUUGAUGCGCGGCUCGACGAAGAGUGUUUAAUGACGGUGUACUUGAGCCGAAGAAGGAGUCGUCGGAGUGUCGACUUGAGUGGCUCCGUCUUGAGUAUGACGAUGUAGAAGGAGACCGGUUCACCAACAAGGUGCGGAUCUCGUCCAUUCUUGCAUCGUUCUCUUGCUUGUGCGCGUCGAGCUUGUUGUCCAAGUAGUCUCUUGUACGUUGCUCGGAGAGUCGCAAGUCGGUGGCGAGGUUGUUGAUGCGGUCGUUCAUUGCUUGUUGCUCUUGAUGCAACGCUCGUUCUGCACCGAAGAGGUGGCUCUUGGUGACGUAUGAUGACAUGUCGUCGUCUUGCUCGAUGAAGAGUGGGUUGGUAGAAGUACUCGGCCUAUCCAUCAUUCCAAACAAAAUAUGAGUGGUAGAAGGAGAAGAACUUAUACAAAUGUACCUUGACCGAUGUUGAUGAUGAAUCAAGUUCACUCAAAUGCGGACAAUGAAAUAGCCCUAUUGGUACCAAUUCUUGUCGGUUCUCACACCUACACAAAUAAAAGCUUAUGGUGGAGCUUGGUUAGGAUGGUGGCACAAAAUUUGAUGCAAUUGAAAGUGAGAUUCAAUAAUGUUAGAAAAGAUUCACAAAUUUGCAAAUGCAAUAAGUAGACCAAGCAAGUGGGUGUACACGGAAACACACACGCAAAUAGAUAAAUGGGAUUGUGCCAACCAAAAGUGAGCCAAAAUGUGGAAUCCACGAAAAUGCUCUUGUUGCACAAUACUAGAGAGACGCUAGCAUGAUUGCACAAUAGGCGGAUACGGAGCUUGUGCACAACCUACUAGGCAAAAAUGCAACGAUCUCUAUCCAAGUAUGCUAUAUUUAUGGUAUUUUGGUGCUAUGAUCCAAGAUGAUCUUAUAUGACAAUCUUAAUGUAGUAUGAUGCUAUGGUUCUUGCUUAUAAGCUCUUUGCUUAUCUUUCCUCUUUGCUUAAAUGCUUUGGUGGAUCUUUCACUUUUGAGCUCUUUUCUCAUGCAAAACUUCACGAACCAAGAUAGCAAUUGUGUAUGCGAUGACAACUUUGUGACACACAAGUUGAUGCCAAGAUAUGCACCACGGUGGUAUGGUAUGUAUGUUAUGGAGUAUGAUCACUAAUGUGCACAAGUCACGUUGCCGACAACACUCAAUGGCUAGUCUCGAUGGGUAAGCUACGCAAAAGAAAGGCCAUGUGGGGUAUCAAUGCAAUUGCACAGUAUGACAAAGAUGUCGUCGAAGUUACCGUCCUUGGCGAUGUUGAGUAGUCGAUGGAGAAGAGCGGUGGUGAUGGUGACGUCGAACCGUACCUAUAUAGCCGAAACAUAAUAGGACACGGGAACCACAAGCAUGUGUAGGAGUUGAUUGAGCCACAUGUAUGUGUUGUUCCUACCUUGCUAUGCCUGCUAUGCUUAGAGUCGUGUCAGGUCUGGUUCAUCUGGGUGAUGGGCUAGAGUGAAAUGAUUAUGUCGGUAAUGAGAGUGGUGUGGUGAACACGAUUUGGUAAAGGUAUCGAUGAGAGGCCAUGUAGGAGUACAUGGUGGGUUGUUUCAUUGAAGCCGACCUUAAGCACUGAGAUCUGUAUGUGUGAUUUAAGAAUCAGCUACUACCAUGCAUUGGGCCCGAAACCAAUGGACCCUCUCGACUUCUUAUUCACCCUAGUUCUCCGUCCAGGAGUUGCAAGUAGUUUCUGGUGUUUGUAGCCUACUGGAGGCCGUGGACAGCGCUGACCGUAGGGGUGGGCUGUGAUGCGGUAGGUACGUGGCCGGGUAUACCGAAUACCCGUUAGGUAUCUCGGGAACCCUGUUCACAUCGUUCGGGGCCGUAUGGGAAACCUCGGCCGGACUCCCUGCGGAUGGAACCUGAAUAGGCGAUAAACCUGGACUGGCGGCUUAGGUGAUUAGGUAGGUCGUGGCCGACACCCACGUUGGGCUUCCGCUUGAAGGUUGCCGAGUACAUGUCGUGUAAACGACGGUAAGUGGUGAGAGCGUGUAGGAAGAAGUACCCCCUGUAGGGUUAACAUGAUCUAUUCGAAUAUCCGCGUCCACGGUAAAGGACUACUUGGUUGCCUAUACAGUUCAUAGACAAGUAAAUGGAAACUACUAAAAGCCUCAAGAUAAGUGUGAGUGCCGAGGAUGGCUCUUCCGUAGGAAGACGGAGGUGGAUCCUCGGUAGUGUAUUGAAGUGGUGAGUAGUGGACUCGUGUGCGCAAAACAUUUCAAGUUGGAGUAUCGUAGGAUAGUCUAGCCAAGAGUCAAAGCUAGCUUGCUGCAAUAACUCCACCAACCCUUCUUGAUACUAUGCAUGUAUGUAGGAUCUGAUGUAAGUCUUGCUGAGUACUUUUGUACUCAUGUUGCUAUAAUCUACAUUUUUACAGAAGACGCUGCAACCCCUUCUGAUGGGUUCUAUGUAGACGUUGACAUCAACGAGUAGGCUAAGGACCCAGGUGGUGACCCUGAGCUUGUGAUGGACCACGUAGUAUAGUUAGGCUUCCAAGCCUCUUUUAUUUUACUAGUUGUCUGUACCCAGACAAAGUACUUCCGCUGUUGGCUUGUAUGACUGUAUGACUUGUAUGUUGGGUCGUGAGACCCGUACCUUUGUGUAUGAUAUGUAUGGCUCCCUGAGCCUUAAAUAAAGUACUUGUGUCAUAGAGUCAUGUUGUGAUGCUUCGUUGUAUUUGCACAUAUCGAGCAUAUUGUGUGUAUGGUUGAAAUGCUUGGUAUGUGUGGGAUCUGACUAUCUAGUUGUUUAUCUUUAGUAGCCUCUCUUACCGGGAAAUGUCUCCUAGUGUUACCGCUGAGCCAUGGUAGCUUGCUACUGCUCUAGAACACUUAGGCUGGCCGGCAUGUGUCCUUCUUCGUUCCUGUGUCUGUCCCUUCGGGGAAAUGUCACGCUUUGAGUACCGGAGUCCUGUUAGCCCGCUACAGCCCGGUUUACCGGAGUCCUGCUAGCCCAGUGCUACAGCCCGGACCCACUUGCUGAUGACCGACACGUUCGAAGCUGGGUCAUGGAUGCCUGUCCCUGUAAGUCUGUGGCACUUUGGGUUUACGACUAGUCAUGUCAGCCCGGGCUCUUUAUCAUAUGGAUGCUAGCGACACUAUCAUAUACGUGAGCCAAAAGGCGCAAACGGUCCCGGGAAAAGGUAAGACGACACCCGUGGGAAUACCGUGCGUGAGGCCACAAAGUGAUAUGAGGUGUUACCAGCUAGAUCGAUGUGACAUCGAGUCGGGGUCCUGACAACAUAAGAUCACAAGGUACAUGAACAACAAAGAGAAAGAUACAAGGUAGAGUUCAUCCCAAAUCCUAUGAAGGAGAUGAGGGCUUGAAUCCUAGAAGGAUCUUCCCACGAAGGGGGUCUUGAAUCCCGCGGGAUCUUCUCACAUGGAGGUCUUGAACUCCAUGGGAGUGGUAGUCUCUCUCUCUCUCAAGAGUAGAGGUAGGAGCAAAGCUCACCUAAGAAUGAGCUAUCAUAUUUGCUAACCCUAGAAAGGAGGUGAAGGUGGUCUAUUUAUAGUCUAAGCCACGAAGGGGUAAGUGGGAGAGGGAUACAAGGCCAAAGGCCCGCAGCAGCGCACAGGAAGGUACCGGUCGUCCGGUGGGUACCGGUCGUCCGGUGGCUCAGGGGGGGCCGGUCGUCCGCUAGUCAUCGGACGUCCGCUGAAACUGUUCUGUGAAGGGACACCGGUCAUCCGGUAUCUUCGGGCUUCCGUUAAUAUUACCGAUCGUCCGCUGGGGGCCGGACGUCCGCUCGCUGGGAGGUGCUGUAGCUGGUGUUGGCUGGGCCUUCUGGCUGGUGCGGCUUCCAGACGUCGGAUGUCUGGUCCCGACCGGUCGUCCGGUGGCUGUAGCAUGUAGCAGCUCCGUUUCUUCCGUCUUCUCUUUCGUGCUUCCCUCGCGGAUGGUGUAGUUGUUCCUUGGCGCUUGCACUCCUCCUCGACAUCCGUGAAGCUCCGACAAUACCUAUGCAUGCACACGGGAGAAGUGUCAAGUAGUAUACCAUCCUCGAAGGGGUCAAGUGAGCAUGUGUAAAGGAGAAGAUUCACCUUUGUGUAUGUGAAGUAGAGGUUGCACGUGUCACUUGCCAAAUGGACUCUUGACAUGGUGAUGACCGUAGGAUGCUCCGCAUCAUCCCCUCCCCCUUGUAAAAGAUCUGACCUCGGAUCGAAAACCAAAUCACCAUGAGAAAGAGAUGGUGGUGCCGUGUCGAAGUGGUCGGUCACCAAGCACUCAUCAUCUUGAAACUCGAAAUGGGCACUCUCCAAUGUCGCACCGUCUAGUGAUUCCUUCAAAAGAAGCAAGAACAACAAACACUUGGAAAAAUAAAUGUGGUGAGCGUUACUGCAAAACCAAGCAUUCAAGAGGUGAUUCACCAAACAAGUGUCAUCAUAAAGGAUAGCAUCGGGUGUGACAAAGGAUUAUGACAUGGCAUGUAAGCAUAUUAAUCGAGCACAACUAAAAAUAUCAUGUGGACAAGUAUGCAAAUGGGAGGUAGAGAUGCAAAUAUGUGUGUCAAGAGAAUAAGCAUCUACCUCAAGUUCAUAGCAAGCAUUCAUAAAUUGCUCAAUGAAAGGUCUAUGGUAGGCAUAUGAAUCAUUCAUAACACCAAGUAAAAUGAAGUGUCUAAACACAUGGGAAAAGUGCAAGACAAUCCAAGCAUAAUGUGCAUAGGGUGUAGUGAAUAUUGUGUGGCACUCAACACAAUAGAAAGAGCAAUUGUUCAUCAUGUGUGAGGCAAUCAAGGGAAUCAUGUGACAAGUAAAGGGACAUGGCAUAUGUGAAGAAAUGAGAUUGGUGCAACCAAUCAUAUGAUAGUAGCAAGUAGACCAAGAAUUGGAUGCAACACACAAGGUAUAUAUAUCAUGAAGCAUGGAAAUGUGGCAAUCAUGGGUGAAAGCAAUAUCUCGAACAUGCAUGCAAAUGGUGCAAGCAACACAUGAAGUAUGAUCCACAAUAUCCAUGCUCAAGAAGGAUGUCACCUUGAAGGCGUGUCCUUGUGCAUUCUUCACAAUGCUGAAGUGGAAGCAAAUGCGGUGUAGAAGCGAUUCGUGGUAGAAUGUAUGAGGCUCGCUCUCAAGAGCUCGAAUGGUCAACUCACGUGAAGUGGAAGUCGACACAAAGUCCAAGUAUCCUACACAUGCACAAAACAAAACAAAGAACAUAUGCGCAUGGUAGAUGAACACAUCAUCCAUCAUGAUGGUUCUCAUCUUUUACACAUAACCAUUAGAAGCACAAGUGCAUGAAUAAUAUGAUGCAACAAUGGCAGUAUUCAUGGCACUAGGUAUAUGGUGCAAAGAAGUAAGACAAGCAUGUUUCACAAGAAUUAUGUCAAAAUCUCCAAAUAUAUGCGAGAAUGCUAUGGGGGCAAUCUCAUGAGCAAGAAGAGAAUCAUUGUUGCACUCAAUACAUGGCAAAUCUAGCAUGAGAGAGGCAACACAUGGAGAUAGAUGACAAGAAGCAAUAUGAGUCAUAUGCAAAGCAUAUAGAUGGUUGUCAUCAACCGCAUGAGAUGAGCAAGUAUGAAUCAUGGGUGAUGCAACAUAAGCAAGCAUAGUGAUCAAAUCGUGUAAACUAGUGGAGCGAAGAUGCAACACACUAGAGUAAAUCAUGGCAAUCAUGUCAUGUGAGCAAAUAUUCGGCAUAGACAAUGCACAUGACAUAUCGCAAGCACGAACACAAAGCAAGAUGAAAGUGUCAUCAUAGGAAUGGUGCACAAAAGUAACAUGGCAAGAACAAGCAAUAUCUCCACCAAGCUUGCAAAUACACAUACAAGUACUAGAAUCAAUCAUCAUGUGUAAUGCAAAGCAUGGGUCACAAAUGCAUGUCAAAGGCAUAUGAAUGAGCAUAUCAUGCAAAGUGAACAUGGCAAGAUGGGCAUAUGAUAUGUAAUGAACAAUAACCCGUAGCCACAUGAGGGCCAUGUAGAAUGAAUGCAUGACGUCUUUGCGUGAAGAGAGCGGUGGGAAAGACAAUCCAUGGGAUCCCAAAUAAUCGUUGCUCUCUAGAGCUCAUUUUGUCAACUCGUGGGAUUGCGAGGUUGAUAAGUAUUCAUGGGUACCUACACAAAAGAGGCACAAACCAAAGAAAUUGUGCGCGUGGUAAAUGUACACAUCAUCCAUCAUGAUGUGUAUGUGCAUGUGUGAGUUAGCACAAGAUAAGCAUCGCUCAAAGAAAUUUGAUGCAUGGUAUAAGAACAUGUCAUCCAUCAGAAAAGAAUAGCUAUUGUGUAUGACAUGAUGGGGACACAAAUUGAGAAUGCAAGUAUAUGGCACAUUAAUAGCAUGUUUAUUCAUGGGGAGCAUAUGGUGCAGACAAGUAUGGGGAUCAUGCAAUGAAUGGGAUGGAUCAAAAUCUCCUAAUAUGUAUGAGGAAACUAUGGGGGUCUCCUCAUGAUUAAUAUCGGAAACAUCACAUGGAGAAAAUGGACAACAUCCUAAACAAUGCAUAUCCGAAGCUAGGUGGGCAUGGCAUGGCAUAUGAGAUAAAUUUUCAAAGGGAUCAUAUCAAUAUCAUCACAAGAAAAACAAAUGCCAAUAACCAUGGGCUUGUCAUCUAUGCCAUAUGUGCAAAUUGGGUUUAUUUUAAUGGCAUAUGCAUAGUCACUAUGAAGAGAUUGCAAAUAUGACAUAUGAUUGAUCUCAUGCAUAGCAUAUGACAAGUCAAGCGGAUUAGCAAACAUGAUGUGACCUAAAGAAUUGUCACAAGAAAUCCUAUGUAACAUGGCAUCACUACUAAUGGACUCCACAUGAGAAUCAUCAUACUCAUCAUAAAUGGGAAAAUCAUCACAUGGGGAAAUCAUACUAGCAUGAAGCAAGGUACUAGGUGGAUCAACAUCAUGCAAGCAAUCAAUGUCAAGAAUGUCCACUAGUGGGACUAGACCAUCACCUUCACCUAUGUUACCUUUGUCAUUCCACUCAAGUGAUGUAGGUGAGGUGGGAAAGACCAAAUGGUGGUCAAUAUCAUCAUCUUGAUGGAACCAUGUGGGGAUGCAUCAUAUUCCACCAUGGCCAUUGUCUUGUCCAAAGGGAGGACGAAGUCGUCGGGGAUCGGCGUGUCAUCAUAAAUGGGACCUAGCACCAAAUGAGAAGGCACAAUAGAGGUAGAGGUCAAGUCGUUAGUGUUGAAAGCGGCCUCACAUGACCUAUCAACUAUCUCACUCUCUCUAUGUGGUGGUUCACUCACUCCCUCAAAAUAGGUGCACUCGAACUCAUGUAUGGUGGAGUCACUCAUCUCACUCAAGUGGUGGGGGUUGUGGCUCUCCUCACAUGGGAUUUGUGGCAACACAUCAUAUAUGGGGCUAGUGGUGAAGUCACUCUCACUCUCAAUAUGGUGGCAAAAGUCACUCAAGUCAUCAUACGUCGCCCUGGUCGAGGUGAAAUACUCAACCAUCUCAUCGCCGUCGCCAUGGAUGAAGGCCGAAGAUGGCACAUCAUCACUCUCCUCCAUGACCGAAGGUAAAAUCCCAUGCUGGAUCAUCUCGUCAUCGUCGUGGAUGAAGGCUGAAGAUGGCACAUCAUCACUCUCGCCUCCUAAGAUGGAAGCAUCAUCCUUGCUCGCCACCUUGUCGCUUGCCUCCAAAGCUUGGUCCUUGAGGGUCUCCAUAGUCGUACUCGUCGCCGCACCAUCUUGAAAAAGAGUCAAGGUAGACUCGGCAUCAUCAAUGCCACAAAGAGGGAUGGCGAUGAAGUCAAACUUGGGAGCAUCAUCUUGGAGCUCGUCGGGCUUGGACAUCUUGGUGGUACUAUCCUCAUGCUCGUUCUCAUGGAGCUUGGUCGCUGCGAAGUUUGCUUGGGGUGGAGAAGCCGUGGCCUUCAUGAGUUCUUGUUCCGCCUUGAGAGCACCAAUGUAGUAGUCGUCGAUGGACUUGUAGUUCUCGAGGAAGAUGGUCUUGGAGAUGUCGUUGUGCAAUCCCAUCAUGAAGUGUAAGUUCAUCCAAAUGGGGUCGUCCACGCCGGCUCGUCGCAAGGCAUGCUUCAUCUCCUUGAAGUACGCGUCGAUGGACUUGGAUCCUUGGAUGGUGUUCUCCAAUUGGCGUUGAAGUUGUUCCGUGUAGGUUGGAGGUACAAACUCUCGCCGCAAAGCUCUCUUCGUCUUGGGCCAACUCAUGUCGUAGUACUCCGAAGGUGUGAGCCACCAUGCAAAUGCGUAGUCGUGGAAGUUUCUUGUGGCGCAUUUCACUUGAUCUUCGGGAGGAACUUGAUGUUGCUUGAGGUAGUCGUCCAUCAAACGCUCCCACUCGAGGUACUCCUCGGGUUCUUGAGUCCCAUAGAAAGGAAUCUCAUGGUCGAUGUCGAGGUCGUAGUAGCUCGUGGAAGUCGCGGACUUGAGCUUGGGGAGCUUCUCUUGAGCGUAGUCUUGGGGUGCUUGUUGGUGAAGAUGCCGAAUAUCCGAAGGCGAAGAUGCCUUGAAGUCGCUUGGCGAAGAUGCCAAGGGAGAUGGUGAAGUCGUUGAGCGGUUGUUGGUGUUGAGCUCUUGACCUUCACGUUCUUGUUGAUGAUGGUGUCGAUGCCGAUGUGAUCUUGCCGGAGAUGGUCGCUCGGAAGGAUGUGCUCUUGAGCGUCUUCUCGAAGAUGAGGAAGAUCGCUUGUAGGACUUGAUGAGGGAUUUGAUCUCCUCCAUUUUAGCUUGCAUCUUGGCGUCGUAGUUGUUUUCCGUGUCAUCGAACUCGUCGUUGUUGUUGUAGACCAAAGGUGAAAUGCCUUUCCUAUCCAUCACAAGACUCGAGUAGAGGUAUGUAGGAAAUGAGAUAAACAAUACCAAGUUACCAUUUCCCAAAGUUGAGGAUGUAUCCCGUUUCACUCAAUAUGAGAUGAAAGAAUAGUGGAAUUGGUACCGGACUUGUUCACUCACACCUAUCAAGUAAAGCUUAUGGUAGAGCUCGGUGAGGAUAGUGGCACAAAAAUUUGAUGCAAAAUGUUAGCAAGAGUCAAUAAUGUUGAAAGAGAUUCACAAAUUCGCAAGCAAAACAAGUAGACCAAUAGCAAUAUGUGGCACACGGAAACACACACGGAUAGAUAAAUGGGGUCAUGCAACCAAGGAAUGAGCAUAAAAUGUGGAAUCCACGGAAAACGCUCGUGUUGCACAACUCAAGAGAGACGCUAGCACGAUUGCUCAAUAGGCGGAUACAACACUUGUGCACAACCUAUAAGAUGCAAAAGGAUAAACUUUCUAUCCCAAGUAUGCUAUGUAUGUAUGGUUCCCGGUGUUUCUCACACAAUGAUCCAAGAUGAUCAAAUAUGAUACCAUAUGAUAUAUUUUGAUGCUAUGGCUAUUGCUUACAAGCUCUUUGCUCACUCUUUUUCUUUGCUUAAAAGCUUAUUCUCUUUUUUUUUCUAUGGCCAAUUUUGCACAAUGCACAAACCAAGAUAGCAAUUGUGUAUAUGCGGGAACAAACUUGUGACACAAUAUAUGAUACCAAUAUGAUAUGGUAUGUAUGCAAUGGAUGGUGUAGAUCACUAAUGUGCACAAGUAACAUUGCCGGCAAUACUCAAAUGGCUAGUCUCGAUAGGCAAGUAACGCAAAAUGGGCUAGGGGUUAACAAUGCAAUGGCAAGGGUAAUAUACAAUGGUGUCGUCGAGGUUACCGUCCUUGGUGAUGAUGAGAGGUGGUGUUGCCGAUGUCGACCCGUUCCUAGUUAGCCGAAACACCCUAGGAAACGGAAAACCGCAAACUGAAAUUCUCAAAGGCAAAUGUCAAAUGGUAGAAGCGGAAAGCAGUGGUGGUUUGCACUUGGCAAUGCGGAAGUGGUGGUGGUGGUUGAUGAAGAAGCAAUCGUCCCUAAGUAGCCGAAACACCUUUGGAGACUCGAAUCACUACUCAAGCAACCACUAAUGCGAUCGUGAAUAAAAUGGGUUAGGUUGCAGAAGUCGGUGGUGGCUAUGCGGGUGAUACGGUGGUAGCCCUAGGCAAAUAUACCAAAAUUCACAAAAUUUGAUGGAGUCAAGUGAUGCUGGUGGUAUUUUUGUGGGAUGGGGGAUGUCAAUAGCUUCAAAACGAGCUAAAGAAUGUCAAAAUCGGAGUUCGGAUGAAUUAGUUAUGGAUGAAACAAGAAUCAACCGAAGUUGAUAUGUACAGGUAGCGGACGUCCAGAAAUGGAUGGAUGUCCGGUGGCCGGACGUCCGGUGAGCUCGGAAAUCCGCUAAUUUCGUUCUGGAAUGGGAUGCCGGACGUCCGGUAAGUAGCGGAUGUCCAGUGGUUCCUGGGGCUCCGGACGUUCGGUAAAGUGGCGGUCGUCCGGUGGGUCGGGGUCAACGCGGGAUUUGAGCUCCGGGACGCGAUUUUGGUCGGAAAAUGGAGAUUUCGGGGUCAAAAUUCACGGAAUUUCGUGGAUGAAAGAUGGGGAAACUUGGGGAAAUGCUAGAUCUACUUGAAACCAAGCAAAUCCAUGGAUCAAAAUCAACAAAACAUCAUCAAACCAACAAAUCACAAAAAAAAUUGGGGCUAUUUUUGGUGGGGAUUUUCGAAUUUUAGGGAAGAACACAACAAAACAAGGCUAGAAAACGGUGGGAGGGACUCCAAAUACGUGAUCAACGUGGCUCAUGAUACCAUAUGGUACGGGGCUAACCCGGUGUAGGUCGAUCUUUCACGUUUGGAGUGGGAUCCCUCGAAGAACACGAUGAACACGAGGAAGAACGGAGAGAAAUCACAAGGGGAAACACUCAAGAACAAGUGCAAUCACACAUCCACUAGACAAUCAAACACAUAAGAUCACAAGGUACAUGAACAACAAAGAGAAAGAUACAAGGUAGAGUUCAUCCCAAAUCCUAUGAAGGAGAUGAGGGCUUGAAUCCUAGAAGGAUCUUCCCACGAAGGGGGUCUUGAAUCCCGUGGGAUCUUCUCACAUGGAGGUCUUGAACUCCAUGGGAGUGGUAGUCUCUCUCUCUCUCAAGAGUAGAGGUAGGAGCAAAGCUCACCUAAGAAUGAGCUAUCAUAUUUGCUAACCCUAGAAAGGAGGUGGAGGUGGUCUAUUUAUAGUCUAAGCCACGAAGGGGUAAGUGGGAGAGGGAUACAAGGCCAAAGGCCCGCACUGCGCACAGGCAGGUACCGGUCGUCCGGUGGCUCAGGGGGGACCGGUCGUCCGCUAGUCGUCGGACGUCCGCUGAAACUGUUCUGUGAAGGGACACCGGUCGUCCGGUAUCUUCGGGCUUCCGUUAAUAUUACCGGUCGUCCGCUGGGGGCCGGACGUCCGCUCGCUGGGAGGUGCUGUAGCUGGCGUUGGCUGGGCCUUCUGGCUGGUGCGGCUUCCAGGCGUCGGACGUCCAGUCCCGACCGGUCGUCCGGUGGCUGUAGCAUGUAGCAGCUCCGUUUCUUCCGUCUUCUCUUCCGUGCUUCCCUCGCGGAUGGUGUAGUUUUUCCUUGGCGCUUGCACUCCUCCUCGACAUCCGUGAAGCUCCGACAAUACCUAUGCAUGCACACGGGAGAAGUGUCAAGUAGUAUCCAUCCUCGAAGGGGUCAAGUGAGCACGUGUAAAGGAGAAGAUUCACCUUUGUGUAUGUGAAGUAGAGGUUGCAUGUGUCACUUGCCAAAUGGACUCUUGACAUGGCGAUGACCGUAGGAUGCUCCGCAUCAGAAGAGGCAUGUAAAGACCAUGAGAUUGAGCUUUAGACUUAGCUUUGCGACAUGUAGAGCAUCAGGUGGUGAAGCGUGAGACGUCGUGGAACAUCUUGGGCCAAAAGUAGUUCUUGGAAAGCGUGGCGAAAGUCUUGUCGCGUCCACAGUGUCCCAUGAGUCCGCCUCCAUGAGCCUCUUGCAAAAGGAGCAAACAAAGAGAAGAUUCGGGAAUGCAUAGUUUGUUAGCUCUCGUAAGAUAACCAUCCUUGAUGUAAUAUUGUUCCCAAGAUGUAUGCGUCAAACAUUUAGCAUAAUGAGGUGCAAAAGAUGGAUCACCAGCAUACAAGUCUUUUAUGUGCUCAAAGCCAAUAACAUUCAACUCGAGUUUAGUGACAAGCGUGCAUAUGCGUGAAAGUGCAUCGGCAACUACAUUUUCCUUACCCUUAAUGUACUUGAUCACAUAUGGGAAAGAUUCAAUAAAUUCACUCCAUUUGGCAUGAUGCUUGUUCAACUUAGUUUAAACUUUUAAGUACUUAAGCGUUUCAUGAUCGGUAUGUAUGACAAACUCAUGAGGUCUAAGAUAAUGUUCCCAAACAUGUAGGACAUGCACUAAAGCAUACAAUUCUUUGUCAUAGAUGGGAUAGUUAAGUUGAGCACCGGAGAGUUUUUCACUAAAAUAUGCAAUUGCUCGUUUUUCUUGCAUCAAAACUCCGCCAAUUCUGGUACCACUUGCAUCACAAUGAACCUCAAAACUUUUGUCAAAGUUGGGCAAAGCAAGAAUCGGAGCAUGAGUAAGAAAAGAUUUGAGCUCAUCAAAAGCGGUUGACUGCAAAGGUCCCCAAACAGAAGGAGCAUUCUUUUUACUCAAAGCAUGCAAAGGGGCGGCAAUAGUGCUAAAGUUUUUCACAAAGCGACGAUGAAAACCCGCAAGACCAAGAAAACUUCGCACUUGUUGCAAAUUGGUGGGUUGGGGCCAAGUUUUAAUUGCUUCAAUUUUAGUUUCAUCAACAUGGACACCCUUGGAAGAGACAACGAAACCCAAGAAAACCACUUUGUCAACACCAAAUGUGCACUUUUUCAUGUUGGCAUAAAGACUUUCCUUGCGAAGUGUUUGCAAAACAACCCUAACAUGAUCAAGAUGCUCUUUCAUGGUUUUGAUAAACACAAGAAUAUCGUCGAAGUAAACCACAACAAAGACUCCAAUAUAAGGGCGAAGUACAUGAUGCAUGAGACGCACGAAAGUACCGGGAGCCUCCGAUUAACCCAUAGGCAUGACUAACCACUCAUAUAAGCCAAAUUUUGUUCUGAAAGUAGUUUUCCAUUCAUCACCUUCUUGUAUGCGGAUUUGAUAAUAGCCACUUUUAAGAUCAAUUUUGGAGAAAAAGUUGGAUCCACUAAGUUCAUCAAGCAUAUCAUCUAAGCGAGGAAUGGGAUGCCUAUAGCGAACGGUGAUAGCAUUUAUAGGUCUACAAUCAGAACACAAGCGGAAACUUCCAUCGGGCUUAGGCACAAGUAUAACGGGAACGGCACAAGGGCUUAAGCUUUCACGUACAUGACCGUUUUUGAUUAGUUGUUGUACUUGCGGUUGAAUCUCCUUGGUUUCUUCGGGAUUGAUACGGUAUGGAGCUUUGUUGGGAAGUGGCGCUCCAGGAAUGAGGUCUAUUCUAUGCUCAAUGCCUCGUAGAGGAGGUAGACCCGAAGAUAGCUCAUUGGGGAAAACAUCUUGAAAUUCCUGCAAAAGAGAUUGAAACACCAAAGGUAGCUCGUGAGUGGUGUUAGUUUUUGGUUCUCCAUCUUUGCACACAAGGACAAAGUGCAUCACACUCGAUGGGUUCUCACACACUUCUCUUAUCUCACUUUUUGUGGCGAAUAGUAUGAGGUUUUUCUCUCUAGGCGAAGAGGCGCUCAAGUUUGGCUUGUUGCUCUCACUCAUGUUUUGGUGGCUCACUUUCUCACUCUUCUCUCUAUGGUGGGUGGCUUGCUUGUCGGCCAUCACUUGACUGGGAGACAUGGGUCGUAGCACAUAUUCCUUACCUUUCAUCUUUAAGCUAUAGUGAUUGGUACGCCCAUUGUGGACGACACCACGGUCGAAUUGCCAUGGUCGACUAAGAAGGAGGUGGCAAACGGUCAUUGGGACCACAUCACACUCCAAAGUGUCCUCAUAUGCACCAAUUUUGAAGGAUACUUGGACCGUAUGCUCAACUCGUAUAGUGCCGGAGUCACUUAGCCAUUGAACCUUGUAGGGGUGCGGGUGCUUCCUCUUGACCAAUUGAAGCUUGGAGCAUAGCUCUUCACUUGCCAAGUUGUGGCAACUACCUCCAUCGAUGAUGACCUUGACGGACCUUCCAUUGAUGCCGGCCUUUGUGAGGAAGAUAUGACAUCAUUGGUCUUCUUCAUGUUGAUGUUGAAGUGUCAAGACCUUGGAGACAACGAGAGCGGGGCUCGUAUCUUCAUCACAAAAGACUUAUCAUCUUCAUCCUCGUUCACGCGCCGGUGCAUGGCCACUUGCUCAAGAGCUUCCAUUUCAUCUUCACUCAUUGAGUCAUAAGUGCCGUCGUCGUUGAGGAUCAUGGUGCGCUUGUUGGUGCAUUGGAAGGACUUGUGGCCUCGGCCGCCACAUGUGAAGCACUUGAUUAAACUUGUCUUGACGGUCUCAUCGGUCGGAGUGGAGGAAGAAGCACGCGGCUUGUAGUUGCUUGUAAUAGGAGGAAGACGACUUGAACUUGACGAAGGUUUCUUGUAUGUUGUCUUGUCGUCGUUGCUUGGAGAAGGCUUGGUUGAAGUAGAUGUUGGAGGAGUCGUUGAAGCUUGAUUGUUGGAGAAGCCGUAUGUCUUGGAUGAGUACUUGGUGUACUUGAAGUCAUCUUGCACUUGACGUUCCGCCUUGGUCGCUUGAUGCACUAGCUCGAUGAUGUUCGAGUAGGGUUGGAAGUCGGCGAUCUUCUUGAUGGGAUGAUUGAGUCCAUUCAAGAAUCGUGCCAUUGUUUGCUCAUCAUCUUCCUUGACGUUGGCUCGAAUCAUGGCUAUAUACAUUUCCUUGUAGUAUUCUUCAACACUCUUUGUUCCUUGCUUGAGGAGUUGUAGCUUCUUGAAGAGAUCACGAUUGUAGUAGGUGGGCACAAAUCGUGCUCGCAUGACAUCCUUCAUUUGAGCCCAAGUGGUGAUUGGAGGGUCACCUCUUGCUUCUCGGCGCUCAAGGACUUGUUCCCACCAUAUGAGCACAUAGUCUUGGAACUCAAGUGAUGCCAUUGUGAUCUUCUCUUCCUCAUAGUUGUGCAAACAAAAGAUUUUGUCGACAUUCAAUGCCCAUGAGAGGUAUUCUUCCAGAUCAUUGCUUCCAUUGAACUUGGGCAUUGUGAAUUUGAGUUUUCCAUAGUGUUUCUCUUCAUCUUGAUAGCGGUUGCGAUAUCGCUCUUGCCUUGGAAAGUCCUCGAAUGCUCGCUCCUCAUGAUGUCGAUCUUGGCGUGGAGGAGGGUCUUGAAGCACUUGUUCCAGUUGGUGUCACUCUUGUCGUGGAGGAGGUCCAUGAUCAACUUGCUCUUGUUGAACUUGAGGUUGAGGUGGAGCUUGACGAUGCACACGUGGUUGGUAGUUCCUCUCUUGGAUUUCUUCUCGAAGAGCUUCCUCUUUAUUGUGCCGUUCGCGAUUGCGGUUGGCGAUGGCUCGACUUGAUUCUUGAAGGGCACAUUCUGCCUCAAGAGCUUGUGCUUCUCGUUGUUGUUGUUGAAGACGUUGAGCCUCGGCGUCUUGUUCCUCUUUGUGUAGACGCGCUCGUUCUUCUUCUUGGCGCCGUAGUCGUUGUCGUUCUUGAGCUUGAGCAAAAGAUACUUGGUUUGAUUGAGGACGAGGAACUUGCUCAUCGACUUGCUCUUGUGAAUGCUUUGCGUGUAGCGGGUUGCGAGAUGCAUGACGGUCUUGACCCGCGGCUCUUCGAAGAAUGGUCGAUGACGGUGUACUUGAGCCGGAGAAGGUGUCGUCGAAGUGUCGACUUGAGUGGCUCCGUCUUGAGUAGGAAGAAGUUGAAGGAGGCCGGUUGACCAACAAAGCACGUAUCUCGUCCAUUCUUGCAUCAUUAUCUUGCUUGUGCGCGUCGAGCUUGUUGUCAAAGUAGUCUCGUGUACGUUGCUCGGAGAGUCACAAGUUGGUGGCGAGGUUGUCGAUGCGGUCGUUCAUUGCUUGUUGCUCUUGAUGCAACGCUCGUUGUGCACCAAAGAGGUGGCUCUUGGUGACGAAUGAUGACAUGUCGUCGUCUUGCUCGAUGAAGAGUGGGUUGGUAGAGGAACUUGGCCAAUCCAUCAUAAGAAAGUGGUGGUGAGUAGGAAAAUGAGAGAACAAAACCAAAGUUACCUUUUCCGAAGAGUGUGGAUGUAAUAAGUACGAUCCCACAUGAUGUUACAAUAGGGGAAUUGGUACCGGGAAUUGUUUCUCACACCUGCAAGUAAAUGGUCAAUGGAGGAGCUUGGUUAGGAAAGGCACAAAUAAUUCAAGCAAAUGUUAGUCAAGAUGUUGAUAAAGUUGAGAAGAUUCACAAAUGGCAAAUAAGACAAAUAGAUCAACCUCCCAAGAUAACACGAGGAACACACACACGGAAGAUAAAUGGGAUCCGCACAACCAAGGAAUGAGCUCGAAGAUGUCUAAUCACGGGAAAAGCUCUUGUCGUACGGAUACUAGAGAGACGCUAGCUCGAUUGCACUAAUGGGCUAGUUACGCUAGUGCACCAACCUAAUAGAGAAUCCACUCGUCUCACUAUCCCAAGUAUGCUUAUGUAUGUGGUGACCAAGAUGAUGCACAUAUGCUAAGGCUCGAUGCUAUUGCUUAUAAGCUCUUUGCUUCUCUUCUCUUUUGCUUAAAAGCUUUUUCUUUUUUUCAACUAUGCCACGAUGCUUGAUAUACAAGCCACACAACGAGGUAACAAGUAGUAAAUGCACGAGAUGGACGGAACACUAAAUGGUGCACUAAGGCGUGGCCCGGCAAUACUCAACAAGCUAGUCUCGAUGGGUAAGCUACGCAAAAUGGCUCGAAGCUAUCAAGUUAAUGGCAAGGGAGUACAAGGUGUCGUUGAGGUUACCGUCCUUGCUUACGGUCGAAGAUGAUUUUGUCGAAGCCGAAGUGUUGUCCGAGUCGAUGAUUGGUGGCGAUGAUGAUACCAACUUGCGCCUAAGUAGCCGAAACACCUUAGGACACAAGAGUAAUCGCAACCGAACACUCAACAAACACGUGUAGUGGUGCGGAAGAACACGAGAGGUGGUGGUGAAACAAAAUGAGAAAAUCAUAAAAUGGCCGAAACUUCCUGGAUAGCCCGUGCGCACAGGGUAAGUGAGGCCCGUGUGCACGGGGUCCCGAUGGCCCGUGUGCAUGGGGUCUCCCGUGAGCGGAUGAACUGAUCUGAUUUCAUGGUGAAUUCCAAGUUUUUGGCCAAAAUCAAACAGUGGAAGGUUGGGGAUGAUGGUGGAGGGGUAGAUCCAGUUCCCAAACACCAAAUUCGUGGAUCAAAUCAACCAAAUAUCACAAGAUUAACAAAUUGCAAGAAAAAUUUUUGGGGCUAUUUUUGGUGGGGAUUUUUGGAUUAGGACGAAAAACAACAAAAUCAAACUAGAAAGUGGAAGGUAGGGACUCCAAGAUGUGAAUCAACGUGGCUCAUGAUACCAAGAUGAUGUAGGGUAGAACCCUAGGAAGGACCUUUUCACACUUGGAGGGGGGAAAAGGAGAGAAACCACCAGAACAACAAGAACACAAAGAUGAACACAAGAGGUAAUCACUCCAACAAUUCCCGAUUACACAUCCACUAGAGUAACAACACAAGAUCCACAAGUCACAAACACAAUCAAAGGAAAGAUACAAUGGCAAAGUUCAUCCCGAAUCCAAAGGUAGAGGGGUCUUGAAGGUAGUCUUCUCCCAAUGGAGAUCUUGAAAUCCUCAAGGAUUCUUCCCUAUGGGGUCUUGAUCCUCAAAGAGGGAAGGUAAUGGAGCAAACCUCACCAAGAUCUCAUCUAAUACUUUACUAAACCUAAACAUGGUCCUAGGUACGGAAUAUAUAGCCUUGGGGUCGAAGGAGAAGAAGUGGAGCCGAAGAUGCAAUCUCAGCCGGUCAUCCUGGGAGGCCCAUGCGCACCGGGUAAGUUGGGCCCGUGCGCACGGUACAGGCCCGUGUGCACGGGGUGCUCCAACGCUUGUUUCCUGUGUAGCCCGUGGGCAUGGGGUCUCAGGGGCCCGUGCGCACGGGGUCGUCUGGACUUCCUGUAUUGUUGCUGCUGCUGCACUCCGUCUUGAUUCGUACGGCCUUGGGGUGGUCCUCCUUCUUCUUGGGAAUGCUCCUUGGUGGUGUUCCUCUUCAUACCUAAGGAGGCAUAGCAUAUUUUGGUGAGGUAGUAGACAUGUUCCAUUUGUGUCCAUAUGCAAGUCUAGUAGGAAGGAGUUCACCUCAGUUUCCAAAGCACGUGAUCUAGCUCUUGUCAUGGGUCCUCGUGGGGUUGGAUGUGUCGAUGUAGAGUCCAUGGGGAUGAUGGAAGGAUGUUCCGCAUCACAUGUAUUGUGUCUCAUGAUCAGAAUCAUCUCCACCGUGUUCUUCACUUGUAAUAAGGGCCAAAGUCUCCUCAUCAUAGUCACUAGCAGACUCAUACCCACCAUCCUCAGUAGCAAUCAUCACACGCUGAGAUUUGCAUUCUCACGCAUAAUUUCCUCUUCCCUUACAACAACGACAAAUAAUAUCACUUGUGUGCCCUGUUGAUGCCAUGGAAGAAGAAGAGCUCUGUACAGGCCCGGUAGGUGCGCUCUUGACAGAUAGUGGUGGUUGUGCCUGCUUUCUUGUAUCACGGCUGGAGGUAGCAGCUGAUGGAGGUGCUGGUGCAGUGGAAGUAGAGGAUGCACGCGGUGUCCAUGAUGAAAGUCGACCUGCAGAAAAGUUAGUUCGCGCCAAUGCUUGUUGAUCCUGCACUUCACGUUCAGCUUUACAAGCAAGAUGGAAUAAAUGAGUGAUAUUAGUAUACUCCUUAUACUCUAGAAUGGUCUGAAUCUCUCUAUUUAAUCCACCCAUAAAACAUGCAAGCAUAGCUUCAUUCUCCUUAACAAUACCACAUCUAAUCAUGCCAGUUUGUAAUUCCUGAUAAUAUUCUUCUACAGAAUUUUUUCUUUGUCUUAAACGCUGCAAUUUUUGAAGCAAUUCACGUUGAUAAUAUGGUGGAACCCAAUGAGUACGCAUAGCAGUUUUCAAAGCAGCCCAAGUAGUUGGAAUAGGAUAUAAUCUACAAUGUUCAGACCACCAUACACAUGCAAAACUAGUGAAAGCACAAACAGCAGCAGCAACCCGUCUCUCCUCGGGAUAUUGUAAACAUGUAAAACGUUGUUCAGUUUCUAACUCCCAAGUAAGAUAUAUAUCAGGAACAUAUCUACCCUCAAAUGGAGGAAUAUUCAAUUUCAGUUUCGGAAUAUGGUCAUUAUCUCGUACCUGAGGUGGUGGUGCAGGCCUACCGUUGCGAAUAUAUACCUGAGGUUGACCUGCUGGUGGUGGUGCUGGUGGCUGCACAUAGUUCUGAUUUUGAUCAACCUCAUCCUCAUAAUAGUCCUCUACCUCUGCAGUAACAGCAGGAGCUACAGAAGCACCAACAGUAGUAGCAGCGGCACUAGAAUUUUGUCCUGGCUCAAUAGGAACACGCUGUGCUCGCCCUACUGUAUCGCGGCGUAGAGCUGGUUGUGGGAGACGUUUGAGUAAUUCAUCAAACUUGGCGUCCAACUUGGUGUCAAUUGACAUCUCAAUGUCAUCCAUCUUCUCCAUUGCCUUUCCAAAGCUGGCCAUCAUGUCUUCCACCUGUUGACCCCACAUUUGAUGAAACUUAUCAUGAAGCUCCUUGUUCGUCAUGUUCUCCCAGUCAAUCUCGUCGGCUUGUGUUCCUGCCAUAGUUAGCAGCAAUAGAAAUAGACAAGAAUAUGAUCCUACAGACUACUGGAAUAUGGUGGUGGUGGGGUGUCACAAAUCCGUCAAGCGAAUCUCAAAUUCUUACCAGUUCUUACCCAGCAGCAGGUGGUGAUCGACAACCGUUGUAGUCAAAACUCUCAAAUCUUGGAUAGAGCGGUUACCAGGGAGAGUCAAACGCACAACGUGGAUGUAUGUGGAGCUGGGAAGGCUUAUAAUAUGGUAGCAAAAAGAAGGUCAGGAAUAAUCAAUUCAGAGAUGCAAAGUUGAAUAAACGCUCAACGACGGUACUAUGCUGGUCCUAGGCUAGACCGUGCUAGAGACGCGAGCCUAGAGCACUAACAAAAUCACGGCGCUGCAUGUAAACAAGGGAGGAGCACACUAUGGAUUUUUUUUUCUUUUUUUCACUUUUUAUGCACCUUUUCUUCCUCUUUUUUUUGCUCCGCAACAAAUUUUUUUCGAAAAAGUUUACAAAUGGUCUAGAAACUGCCUAGCCAGAUUUUUUUUUGAAACUGGAACUAUUUUUCUACUGCGGGUAGCACAAAAGUUGGGGAGUCCGACUUGGUCACGUCUCGUAGUAUCGCGUGAUCUAGAACUCGGAAAUAAAGGAAGAAAUACUGGACUCGGACUAGAACUGCUAGCGGAGAUAAAUCUGGUGGAACUCGGACUGGUGAUGAUGGUAUAUGUUGGGCGGUGAAUCACGGACUAGUGGCGAAUAUAUGGAUAUGAUGGUAGAUGGCAGGGGCAAUGAUGAUAGUGCGGCGGCGGCGUGACCACUUAUGACCAGAACUCGAAACUCUAAAAGACUAGACGCUAAGACCAGCAACUUGACAUGACGAUGCAACCGCAAAUUCAACAAAGCAAAAUACUGAAAAGAGUAUGCAAAGGCUCAGACUGGUUCGGAUAUGAUCACCUAACCCUAAUUUUUUUUUGCUUUUUUCGUGGACUGUAGGUAUGAAGAACAGACUCGAUCUAAACUACGAAAAACUAUAAAAUCUCACCAAGCAACCUGGAAAUCUGAUACCACUUGAUAGAGGCAAAGGUGUCCCGUCUUUCGAUUUGGAGGAAGUCAACUUUGAUGAUCCGACUAUGAACGUGAGAGGACGUCGCGCCUUAGCAAUCGCUAAACCAACUUCGAGAGGUUAUUGACCACGCCGGAGCAUGAUCAACCUGACACGAAGGUCUGUUUCCUGUAGGCAAACGAAGAACAAGCAAGAAACUAAGAUGGCAAUAUGGAUAAUGCGAAUAUAAGAGGAAAGCUUUAUUGAUCAAGGUGGGGUUCUGUGACGCAUUUGUCUGGUCGUUGAACACAAACGAAGUACGCGAAGUUGCAGCUAUGGCGAACUUUAAUCUAAACAUAACCCAAGUCUAAACGGUGCCCUAAGGGCUGUAUAUAUGGAGGAAGAGGGGGGAAUUUCAUGGCCCUUGGUGGAGGGGUCCGAAAUCAACCCUAUCUCUUGUUUCCCCACACAUACGGACUCUAAA